This 52453-nucleotide long non-coding RNA is filed under the name Eutrema salsugineum. RNAcentral describes it as "long non-coding RNA (ESAL_LNC000110)". Lineage: Eukaryota; Viridiplantae; Streptophyta; Magnoliopsida; Brassicales; Brassicaceae. The record is from RNAcentral.
AAAGUUUUCGUUUGUCGGAAUCGGGGCUUAGGGAUUUUCGAGAACCUAGUUCUCACGUUUUAACAUUUUCUUACCGACGAGUUCUUUUUAUCUUUGUUUCACCCCUUGUUUCAAACUAUUCUUCGUGAGGUUAGGCCUAAGGAUUUUCGGAAGUCUUCUCUCACGCUUUAGCAUCUGCUCCAAGAGUCGUUUGGAGUCAAGAAUUUAUCAACCUUCGGUCCAAGUGUGUGAAGCCCUUAAUAAGAUCGUAUCAUUUAUUUAGUAGAUCUGAGUGUUUCUUGAAUUAUAUUUGUCCAUAAUCCAAAAAUGGAACAGAGGAAACAGCAUGACACGUAAAGUAAUUAACUUUCUAUGUAGAACUAGUCUGCUCCAUGGAAGUUUGCUUCGGGUAAGCAACUCAAAUAUUACUUAUACUUUAUGCGUUUGUUAGUGGCAAUCAAAAACAAACUAAACUUCUUCAUGCUUUGUGUUUUUCCCUUUUACUUGUAUAGUUCAUAGAUCUGAUAAGUGACACAAAGUGGUAAAUGAAAAAAAGAGAACAGUAAAUAGUACCAAAAAUACUUAAAGAAGAAAAAAAUAAUGAUACAAAAAGUUGAAAAUAUCGUUUUUGGUACGCUAGUUCUUACUGUAUUUGUGAUUGUAACUACUGAAUUGAUAGAGUCCACAGUAUGAAAUCAGUAAAUUACCAAUUAAACAUUUGUACCGCACUGUGUUCUCUCAUUACUGAAAACUACUCAUUUUAUAUAUAAAUAUAACUGAGAUUUUUUUUACCGAAAUCUAAAUUAAUUUUUUAAUUUUUAGAUAUAUAAAAAAAUUAAAUAUUUUAGUUAUUUGAUGACAGUGACUAACAAUAAUUGGAAUCAAGGCCGACUAAAAGCCACUCCAACCAGACAGCAAAACACUAAAUUUGGUGUUAAAAUUACUCCAACCGAAUGGUAUAUGAGACGCUAUAUUUUUGUUUUUGCCGUUUCAUGAACAGUAUCACACCAUAUUUGGUAUAACACUCUUCAUCACACUAAAUAUUAAAAUAUUAUUAUUUUUAGUUGUUCUAUUAUAUAAUAUAAUUAGUUUGUUGUUUAUUCAUUGAUUAAAUAUGUAGCUAAAAAAAAUAUGACAUUGAUAUUUUUGUAUAAAUCAUUUUAAUGAUACAAAAAUUUAUUUGUAACAUAAUAUUUUUUCCCUCAAAUAAGAAUAUUUUAAAUAUAUAUAUACUUUUAUUUUAUUAUUAAUUACAAAGAACACUCAUUAUUUCUAAAUUUAUAAAUUAUACACAAAUAUUUACUUGUUAGUUUUGAUUUUUGGCUUUAUGGAUAUGUUCUACUAAAUGUUUUAAUGGUUUUAUAGAAAAACUUUAAUAUACCACACUAUCUCUUUGUGUUAACUUUAUUUUUUUUAAAUAUAAUUUUAAUUACAUAAUUUAAAUAUUUGUUUGUUAGUUUUGACUUUUGGCUUUAUGGAUAUGUUAAACUAAAUGUUUUAAUAGUUUUAAAGAAGUAUUUAAUAUACCAAACUAUCUCUUUGUCUUAAUUUUAUUUUUUAUUAAAAUAUAAUUUUGAUUACAUAAUUUAAAUAUUUGCUUGUUAGUUUUGAUUUUUGGUUUUAUGGAUAUGUUGUACUAAAUGUUUUAGUAGUUUUAUAGAAGAAUUUUGAUAUAACAUGUUUUGGUAUAAAACCUUAUAAGAAAUUUUAUAAACUUUUAUAAGAAAUCUUAUAAAUCUUUAUAAAUAGUUAUUGAUCAAUACUUAAAAAAAAGAAAAUUUAAAUAUAAUAAUAUAACAAUAAAGAAUAUUCUUUUUAGUGUGAAAUAUAAUGUUAUGGUUGGAGAUAGAAAAAAAAGUAGAACACUAUAACAUCAAAUUUGGUGUUAUUUUUACACUAAAUUUACCGUUUAGGUUGGAGAUGAAAACCUAAACGGAUCAGUAUAGGUGUACAACCUUCUAAAAAUAAAAAUCGGCUAUGUUUAUAAAUCGGUUUCUUUUCAUUUUACCAUAUAUUUUGCAACCUUCUUAAACUCAAAACCUACUUUGAUUGAUAACACAUAGAAAUACUAGAAUUUCGAUUCAUCCAAACCUCUCUCCAACACUAAAAGCAUAUGGUAUUCAACUGAGAAAAAACAGUUGGACGGUGUCGCAAUUAUUUACUUGACUCAAUAUGAGUCAUGACUAUAUGCCUUCUAAACGUAGAUUCUUCAGAAAAGUCAAUUCACCGCAGUAAGAUUUGGUGUUCAAAAUUCAUAAUAAGAAAAUUUAGUUUAGUUUUUUAUUUUAUUUUUUAAGCUAUGAAAAAUUAGUUUUUAAAUCAGGAAACUUUGGAAUAUAAAUAUAAAUAAAAAAGCCAUAGUUCAGAUUUUGUCUAUAUAUUUAAUAAAAGACAUAGUUCAGAUUUUAUUUAUAUUUUUAAUUACAUACAUGCAGAAGUCCUAAUGACCUUAGGAUAUGAUCUAUAGCCUGACUCGCAAUAACACACGCCACGCUAAAUUAAAAGUUUGAUACGAGCCGUGUGAACUAACUAUGAUUUAUUAUGACCACUAAAGUAUGAAAAUUAUGUUCCUUUCUAGCAAAUUUAAGCCGUUAAUCAUUCAAAAAAAAAAUUAAGCCGUAAAAUAGAAUGAAAAUAGCGUAGAAGAUAAUAAACGAAUAAUUGGCACGACGUUAAGCGUAACUUUACAUGGAAUGAUAGGGAGAAAAGUAGAUUUCACGUCAAUUAUUUAUAUUUUUUUCCUUUUUAUUUGCUUUGCUUUAGUGAUAAUUCACAUUAACUGGUAAUACACACCAUGUGAGAAAUGUUCAAAAAGGAACAGAGUAGGACAAGCUCGAAAGAUAAUUGUUUACCUGUCAUUUGUCUUGUCGCACUUUCUAAUUGUAUUUUGAGAACUCUAUUAUUAUUUUAUUAAAAACACUUAUCAUCUAAUUAGUCACUGUUAUAUUACCAAAAUUAGUUUAGUAAUAGACUAAUAGAAUAAGUCAAGGUAAUACGUCUUGUGCGCAAAAUUGAAAAUUCAAUCAAAAUGAUCUUUUCAAUUUAAAACGUCAGUCUCGUAAUUGUCUUUGUCCUACAAUUACAUUGCCACCAAAUGUAGUAGAUGUAAUGCAGGACAACUCGUUAAUAUUUUAUUUCUAUUUUACUUAUUUAAUUUUUAUAAUUCAACCACUAAUUACAACAAUAGAUUAUUCAAGUGAACGAAUCAAUUUAGAAUCAUUGAUUGAAAACUGCGAACGACACGGCCGGUUGAAACCUGAUCCACAAAUUGUCCCAAACAAUUAAUAUUUUGAACCAAUCUAUAAAAAUUAUUAAUGCCUUCGGGGGGAGACCAAUCAAUUUGAUUUCUCGUUUGAAUAAUGUAGAUCGGUUCAAAUUUCUUAGUUAAGAAAAUCAAUGAAAUUGGAUAAAAAUAAGAAACAAAUACUCCCUCCAGAUUUAUUUAGUUGUCGUUUUAAGGUUAUGCACACAGAUUAAGAAAAUAUUAAUUGUAUUAGUUUUUCAAUAUAAAAACAUCAUUAAUUAUUUAUUUAAACACAAUUUAACUAAUAAUAAAACAAAUUGCAUAAUAAAAAUAAUUAUAAAAAUUAAAAAACUAAUAAAUGUUACAUUAAAAACUGAAAACGACAAUUAAUUUAAAAUAAACAAAAUUUUCUAAAACGACAACUAAUAAAAAACGGAGGGAGUAAUAAUUUGUAACAAACUACAAAAUAAUGAUUAUAUAUAUAUAAUUUAGAUAACAAAUAAAUUUUUGUGUUCUUCAUCUUCAAUGAUGAUAAGAAAAUACGAAUAAAUUUAGGUUACUUCUUUUUUUAUGUGGGUAGCUUUGCAUCAUCCAUGUAUUACUCCAAUUAUUAAUUUUCAAUCGCUCUCAGUGCAAAAAGUAUGUAAAUAAAAAAGUAUUAACAGAAAAUAUCGAAUUGUUUUUCCUUUCUCUAAAGUACUGUCUAAUCAGUGACAAAAAAAUACAUAAGAUAGACGUUUAAAAAAAAUACACAAGAAAAAAAUAAAAAAAUUUAUGUGAUGCUCAACCCUAAAAUACUAAUGCAGGUGAUAUGUAUCUGAAAUUAGCAGCCUCUUAAAUUAAAAAAAAAUCUAGAUUUAAACAUUGAUAAAGACAAACUAACAUAUCAAACAAAAAACAAUUACACCACAACAAUCUAAAUCAAAUAAAAUAAAAAAGACUGAAAGAAGGUUGGCAAUAGGACCCACAAAACACACUGUCAGAAAAUCUUCAGAGUUUCAGAGAAGAAGAAGAAGAAAGAAAAAGAAGAAUCAAACAGUAGUAAAUCCCAGGAAUAUUAUAUUUUCUUACCAAAUCAAAAAACCUAUCUCUUCUUAUUCUUGUCUCUUCCAUUUCCAGAGAAUAUAGAUCCUAAACCAAACAUAUUCCCAGAAGGGACCAUGUUUAUAACCGGACUCACUCUAAUCCCUCCUCCAUGGCUUCCAUAACUGUAACCUCCGUAAUUUUUCUUCAAUGGCGGUUUCUGAAAGCUACUGUUACUCGAUGUAGAAGAAGAAGAUGAUGAUGAUGAUAAAGACGACGAUUGUUGUAGCUUUAUAUGCUCUGUUGUGUGUUUCCUCGAGCUCUGUUUCGGUUUACUCGACGUAGAACCGGUCGAAUUACUCCGGUUUAGUAACGGUAACGGACAUAGACUCCGUCCGUAACUACUUCCACAGUUUAAACUGCUGCUUCUCUUAAACCCCCAAAACGACUUCGUAUUGGGUUUCUCCUCCGUUACGGAGACGUCAUCGUCUUCUUCAACCGGUUUCCUCUGUUUCCUAAAAUCCGGUUUAGUCGGUUCGGUUGGACCGGUAUCGGGACCUUUCUGACCCGGAUUGCGUUUCUCGGGCGGUGGCGAUUCGGGUUUCUUCUUCUUCUUGAUUUCUGUUGGCAAGAUUUGUCCGUUACGGAAGAGUUCGUCGGCGGACCAAGAGCCUUGGUCGAAGCUUUCGGCGGAGUUUACGCCGCCGGGAAUGCAGAAAUCGAAAUCGAUGCUUGAAUUGAGACUGGACGGUUUCGAAUUCGACGAUCGUAAGGGACGUUUCUCGAUCGGAAUUGCAUCGGAUUGACAAAAGUCACGAGAAAAUGAGAUUCUUGGACUCAUAUUAGAAUUUUCCGAUAGAAGAUCCACCGCCAUUAUAGCAAAACGAACAAUUUCCGAAUUCUGAGAGAAAAGGAAGAGACUUUCUUGAAUAUUGAUAGAAAGAUAGAGAGACGUGGAGAGAUAUUUGGGGAAGAAGGUGAAGGUGGAACGAUAGGAAGGGUUAGAAUUUAAUUUAUAUUUUUUACAAGUGAAUUAAAUUUAAAUAAGUGUUUUGAUUUUGAUUUAAUAAAAUGGAAAAUAAAUAAAAAGAAUUUUCGGGUGAAAGAAAUUGAAAAAGUGAAAGGGAAGGAAUAAAUAAAGAAAUGCUAAUAGAAGAGGGGACAGAGAAGCGUGUCUCUUGCUACAUAUUCACAUGCAUGGGCCAAAAAAGGAUAUAUGUUGGUUCUUCACUUUGUACAAUUUUAUUUUCUAUGGUAUAAUUUUAUUUGAUGUAUAUCUUUUGAAAAUUCUUUUAAGAGAGGCUAUUUGGAUCAUUGAUCUGGGAAGAUAUGGAAUUUUUUAUAAAAUCCACUCUUAUUGGAUGUCCAAUAUUUCAAAAAGAUAAUGCAUUUCGGAAAUCUCUUCAUGUUAUAGGAUAUACCAUGUCAAAUUAUUUUACAAUAAUAUACAAUCUACCAUUAUUAUUUUGAAAGUUUAUAAACUAACAAAAAAAAAUCUAGGGUUAUUGAAUCAUUUCUAACUGUAAAUAAAGAGUCUGAAAUUUUUCAAAGAUUUGAAUAUAUGUACUUAUAGUUAUAUACUCAACCCCUUGAAAAUCUCUAGAAAAACUGACUUUUUUGGAGAUUUUUAGAAAUAAUAUUUCAAAUUUAUCAUUUUUUGUUGACUGAAUUAGGUUUACUGGGUACUAUAGAUGGGAGAUAUAGGUUUUUCCGACUCUGAUACAAUGAAAUAUAUUUUGAGACUAAAUUUUCUUUGAGUAUAUAUAGCUUCAAAAUAAGAAUGAUCAACUGAAGAUACCUUGAACAAAUGAAUGAAAAAAUGUAGUAUGUAUUUAUUUUUUAUGAUUCUCGAUGUUAACAAUGAUUUUGCUAAGUCUUUUGCGUAUGGGGAAGAUGCUUCUUUCAUCGAUCCUUCUGCUUUUAUAGCAUUCCAAAACUAAUUUCUCCGGUCAUUACAAGAAUUAAAUUCGUAUUAAUUCUUUCGAUUUAACCGUUCCCCUUUUUUAUUCUUCGGGCUUUGAACAAUUCUUGCUUUGCGAGGUAAUCAUCUUCUUUGUUUCUUUUGGUAUUUUUUUUUUUUAUUAGUCCACUGAAUUUGGAUGAUUUACUUUAAUUUAUUUGUGUAUUGUUCUCUCUAGGCUGUCAUGGAUCAGGUUCAUAGUGAAAUCCAACACUAAAAACAACGAUAUGAUCGAAAUUUUGAGAGCAGGUAGAAGAAUCUCUAAUAAUUUCAAAUAUAAAAUAAUCCACCAAAACUUUAACCUGGUUUGUAGCAAAUAAGUUUAGAGUGAGAUUAAUUCUCUAAUUGUGUGAGUUCACCACAGCCAAAAAAAACAAAAAAAAGAGCUACAUCCCCGUUAUGAACUUUUUUUCCUUCAGCAAAGGGGAAUCAAAUAAAAACGACUAACUUUUACAAAAAGAAAAAUACGGUUAAUACAAACACUACAAGAAAACAUUACAUAUUCCUACCAGAUAUUUCAUCAGAAAAUCGUAGGAAACCGGCUUUUCCUAUCAAUUUCCUACCAAAUAUUUUUGUAGGUUCUAUGCCGUCAGAAAUUUUCAAAGGUAGAAAAAUCGUAGGAAAUUUCCUACGAAAAUUUUGGUAGAAAAAUUUUGGCGGUAGGAUAUUCGUAAGGAAAAUACCUACCAAAUUACUUCCAUCUUUCUACGAAAUAUUCCUAUCAUUUUCCUACCACUUGAGAUUUUGUAAAAAAUAAAAUUAAUUUUAUAAAUUAAAAAAAUUAAAUUAAUUUCAGAAAUUAAAUUUAAACUAAAAGAUGAAUUAACUAUUAAUUCGAUUAUUAAUAUAUAUAUAUAUAUAUAAACAAAUUAAUUAAAAGAGAGAUGAAAAUCUUAUUUAUAGAAUAGCUUCAUCAUCCAAAUUGUCUCAGAUCAUCGAUGUGGGACAAAACCAAAGUUGAAAUGUUCCUACAAAAUUCCUACGAUUUUUUUACACAUAAUAUUUCGUCAGAAAUUAGUAGGAAAUUUCCUACGAAAUACUUACUAGUAUAAUGGUCAAUUGUAUCCUAUUACUUUCCUUUCAAAUUUUGACCGCGUGGUAAAUUAUUGGUAGAAAAUAUCCUACGAAAUUUCGACAUAAUUUUUGGUAGGAAAAUCCCUACCAAUUUCUUAUCACUUUUACUUUUUGUCAAAAUUACGUAGAAAAUUGGUUAUAAAAAUUUCUUACCAAAAAUUUCGUCAAAAUUUUCAUAGGAAUAUGAGAUGUUUUCUUGUAGUGAAACAAUUUAGCAGUACAAAUACUUGAAAUCUACAUAAACUUAGUCGGAUGUUAAAAACAAACAAGAAAAAUUUUUUAUGUAUAAUAUCUCAUACAAAAUACACUGCAUUUUUCUGAAAUGUCCUUCCAAAAUUGCACAUCGGUUUUUGAGUAAUUGGAGGAAAUAACAACAUGUUACUUACAUAAAAAAAUGUUUAGUUUUUGUCAUUUGACAAACUCGCUCUUGGUUUUUUUUAGCUCACAAAAAGAAAAUCAAAAGUUACAGAAAAUAUUUAGAUCGUAUCAAAACCCAAUCAAACCCAAAGUCAAUAAAAGUAAUCUAAAUCCAAUGAUAAGUCAAAAAACAUAUGUGCAAUGUUUGAAAUGUUUAGAGAGUCAACGUUGGGAUUCGUGUUGACUAAUGUGAUGAAGCAUUGAACAUAGACCAAUGGUGCCAAGUCACCGACCCGAGACUUUAACCAUACUAAAGUUUCGUCACGAACUCUAUCAAGUUAAAGAAGUGCAUUCACAUAUUUUAAACCAAAUCAAUGAUGCUUUUACUAUGGUGUACUAGGAAAUGCUACAUUUUAAAGUAUUCCUGAUGAACAAAUUUCAAACGAACACAUGUCUCGCUUCUACAUAUCCUUAUAUGUUGCUUGCGAUAACUAUAACCAAGUAAAAACAAAUAUAUUAGGUAAUCAGGUAUUCUAAAUGCUAGAAAGAUUAGUUGAAAUUUUAGCAAAAAAUGGUUAGAUGAUAGUAUAAUUCUUAUAAAGUAUAAGAAUAAUAAAAAGAAAAAACACGGUGGCAUUGUUGAUACUCCCCAAUCAAUACGAGCAGACACAUAUCAUAUAUAUAUCAAAAUUCAAGAAUAUAUAAGAUUUUAGGUUAGACCAUAACACAUAUGCGUUGUUAUCCACUUUUGUAAGUUGAAUAUGAAAUAUUUAUCUGGUAUCCUUUUACAAAAAAGAUUAAAAAAAAAAUGAAAUUCAUGUAUCUGAUCUAAGAUUUCGUUAUGUUUUUUUUUUUUCAUUGUCACGAUUGUAUCUUCAUUCCUUUUAAAUUUAGUGUCUACUUAGUUCCGUUGUAUACUUCUUAUACAUACCACUUGUAAAGCAGUGACAAAACCCUAAUUUCUAGUACUUAUAGUCGAAAGUAUACUUUUUCUUUUAAAACCAAAAAUUUCUGAGUCUAGACCCAUAAUAUUUUUGCCGGGAAUUAGACCAAGUUAAUUUAGUCUCUUUCCCACCGUCAAUUCUUUGAACCCAAAAAAAUGGGUUAGUUACCGAAGGCGGAUUAUAUUCAACAAUUAAUUCAAAUAUAGCUUCCUAUUUCAAGGAAAGAAAUAUUACUCAAAUAAAAUGAACUUCUGUGUAUUCUAACUAGAUGGGUCUUUAGUGAUAGAGAAGUCCAAACUCCUUCAUUUUAAUGAAUCAGACGAAUCAUAAGAGUUUGCUUUUAUAAAAAAAAAAAGAGCUUGCUUUUCAUCAAAAUAAAAAUCGAUUUUUGCUUAAAGUGAAAGUAAAGAAAUUGUUUGUGUGAUAGAAAGAAAAGAGAAAAGGAGAUUUCAUAUUAUCUAGAGAAUGAUAAGGAAAUUACAAAACAAUAUACACUUGUGAAUUAUAUAUGAAAACAGAAAAACAAAGUAAGCAUGGGCAUGGGUCCGAUGGCUACGUACUUACCGAAAACGAAGAAAGCCACUUAGAGAAACUGAAGGGUUGAUAAAUGGUCCACGUUUUCCCCUAAAUCCUUUCUUUUCAUAACCAUUGGGUCGCCCAUGAGCCCACCUAAAACCAACCCGACCCGAUUAGAUCCAACCAAGAAUUGUCUACUCUUCUUGAUCACUUUGCCUAUUUUGGCUGCUCUCGGUAAUAUUAACAAGAAGUUGUCCAAUUCGGUUAGGGUUUGGUUAUGAUGACAGAGAGUAAAAGAUGGUCCUGUCCGACAAAUAGCAUUGGUGCUGUUUUGCUAACAAGUACCGAACUGCUUUGUUCAGACCAAAAACAAAAAAUAAUCAAUCUGCUUUGUUCUCUACAGAAAUUGAUUAUAAAAGCUGAAAUGGUAAAAAAAAAAAAGUUGUUUCCCUUAAGUCAUGAAAAGAAGAAAUAUUGUUUUUGGUUCCGUUUGAUUUAUCAAUCAAUAUGGCCUGAAUCAAUAUGACCACUGAGAUAAUCAUCCAAAUCCAGAGAUAUGCAUGGUCGUCGCCCUCGUAUUAGAGAGGGUUGUGUGCAUGCUCAUAGGCUUACUUACAGUCCAAUUGACCUCACCAAAGUGAUAGAUUCCUUUCCCAAAAUCUUUUUGUGAAUAUGAAUAACAUAUUUCUUGAUGAUUUUUUUAUAGAUGCAACAGUAAAAAAUCUGUCGGAGGAUCUCUCGCCUACAUUUUAGUUUGCAUAAAAAAUGUGAAGUUUGGUUUACAUUUAAUGUAUACGAUUAUGGAUGUGGAUCUAUCGAUCUGUGUAUGUCAUUUUGAUGAUUCUUGGACGAGUGACGGUGCAACUAGUGGUUCUUGAUGGAUUAAUGGCACAUCCAGUUUAUUGGGUGAAAUCUCAACACCUUCAUCUUUAAACUCCAUAAAUGAUUUGGACAAUGAAAUGUCAACAACAUAAUCACGAUUUAUUUAUAUUUUGUGAAGGUUUUUAUAUGAUGACUUCUGCACCAAAGUUACAUGAAUUAGCCAUGAUUAUUAAGUUUUUAUCUAAAAGUUACAUGAAUUAGCCAUGAUUAUUAAGUUUUUAUCUAAAAGUUACAUGAAUUAGCCAUGAUUAUUAAGCUUUUAUCUAAAAGUUACAUGAAUUAGCCAUGAUUAUUAAGCUUUUAUCUAAAAGUUACAUGAAUUAGCCAGGAUUAUAAGUUUUUAUCUAAAAAUGAGUUAAUUCGUCAAUUACAUAUACAAACAACGUUUAGGCAGAUUUCGUUGCUUCAAUAAUUAAAACGUUUAAAUUCUAUUUCGUUGCUUCAAUAAUUUAAAACGUUUAUUCUCUUUAGUAACUUUAGUUGUGAUGCAUCGAACUUUGUUUGUAUAAUAAAGUUGCAUAUGCUUGUUGACACAAUAUUCUCAGUUUUCUAGCAUUGAUAAGCAUUUGUAGACGAUCAAAGAACCAUGUAGGAUACAAAUUAGUUGUCAAUAAUCUAAAAUACAAGUUAUAAUGACUUUGUACCUUACAAUCUUACACCACUUAUACAUUACAAUUCUGUUGGUCCAAACCACCUAAGAAAGAAAAAAAGAAAAGAUGAAGAUCGUUAUACCAAACAAAAAAAAACCCGCCAAUUUUCUAAAUUAACCCUUUUUAUUAGUAAAGUUUUCUAAAAAUCAACUUUUUUUUUGUCAACAACUAAAACCAAUCUUAGUCAAAUUUUUGAGUUAUCCAAAAGAAGUCGACAUUUUCGUUAGUUCCAAAAUAGCUCAAACUUUAGAGUUAUCUAAUUUUUUUGAUGAUACUACGUAACAAGUUUAACAUUCAAAAAUUACUCUAAUCGAAACAAACUUGAAAGAAAAAAACUGCUGUGGAAAUAAAUAAUACGCGUUAUCUUGAAAAAAAUAGGAAAACUAAACGCGCGAUUUGGUCAAUGUGGUCGUGGAUGGGUCACCUAAUCUUUUUAAUUUCCCUCUAAAAAAAGAAGAAAUAAAUUUUCUCCCAAUUUCCUCGAAGAAGAACAUUAGAAAAUAAAAUGUCAGGAACUGAAAAAAACUACGAAACCAAUCAGAUUCGGCCAUUUCUUUCCCUCUUUUCUUUUUUCUCCCAAUCACUCUUCAGAUUCCGAAAAAAAAAGCAAACAAAGAAAGAAAAAAUAGAUUCUUUAUCACCGGAGUUUUCACCGGACUCUUAAAAGAUGAAUACGCCGAACUGGGAACUCCGGAGUUGCUGUAACCGAAACCAGAACACGUUCCUCAUCACCAUCGGAAUCUUCACCGUCGUUAUCCUUGUGGUUAGUUUUUCCCAUCUAAUGUCCUUGAGAGAAAGAGUUUAAAGUUUUGACCUUUACUUGUUUUCUUCGAUUCAAAUUGAAGAUCCGACAAAUUUUUUUGUAAAAGUUAGUUUAAAGGGUAUCUCGAUUGUAGUGUUUUAUGCAACUGUUGACUUAUAAUUUCAUUCAAAGUUUGUGACUUUUGGCAUCAUAAAGUUUCUAUAUUUGUUCUUGUUUCUUAAGAUCUUCACAGAGAUUUCUUGGUUUUGUUUUUAACAGCUAUGGAGGACAUUUCUAUUGACUCCAUUUAAACUAAUCACGGUGUUUUUGCACGAAGCGAGUCAUGCUGUUGCUUGCAAGCUCACAUGUGGAGAUGUAAGGAAGCUCUCUCACUUCAACUACUACUUCAAUGAAACUAAAAAAGGUUACAAAACUGAUUUUAGGUGUAAACCCUUAAUUCAGUUUGUAAACUUGAAUUGUCCUUUUGAUUUGUUAAAUUAUACUGGUUGAUUUGUGAUCCACUUUGCGAGCAUAACAUCUCUUUAGAUAUGCACAUUUACCAGUCGAAAGGUUUGCUUUAGCAUUGAUGUCUCUGCAUUUUCUCUGGACAUGACUGUUUAGCAUAGAGUGGAUUUUAGCAUCUUGAUUCAGUUUGCAAACAUAAACCGUCUGCUUCGAUAUGGAAAAAUACACUUGGAACUCAGACUAAUUUUAGGUUCCUUGAAAGUUUAAAUGCGGUCGGGGUUCGCUUUGAAUAGGCAGAGAAGAUGUUUUUGUUAUCAUCCACUACUCGCAUGGCUUUCUUUAGCAACAAUACCUUGUGUAGAUUGCUUUAGCAAUGUUUGUCUUUGGAUAUGGCUGUUUAGCACGAUCGUAAAGUUGGCAUCUUGAUGUCGAGUUACGAUAUCCUUAUUUAUUGUGCCAUUCGCUAUAUUCCUCAUUUGGUAAACAUUGUUUUAUCCUCACUUGUAUAUGAUUCUCGCUCUAUUGCUAAUAUGUAAACUACUAAUAUACGAAUAUACGUCAUUAGUCUAAGAAGCCAAGACACACAGUUAGCUCAAACCUUAGCUUUAGGUCGACCGUAGCGUAGGACUAAAUGUUAACAGAUUAUAGCUGGCUGCUGGUCUGAGUUUGUGAGAAAGCAGUUAGUGAAAGCGAAAUCUGUAAAGAUGUCUCUGCAGAUUGUUAAGGCUGUAGAAUUUAUAGAAUUUGAUUGGGAUUCCGGAUGAAAGCCUUUUCAUUAAUAAGUUUCUCUAGUUGGUGAGUGUUAUAAGAAUAGCAGUGUACAGCUUAGCUCUUAUCAUAGUUCCAAUAAUGCAGAAAAGAUAGUAGAUAAGUUACACCGCUCAGCCCAAAAAAAAUCUUUGAUUAUGUAUUGAUUGCACAUUAUUUUCAUCAAAUGCGUGCAACAUUCUCUAUGUUAAUCUGCAACUUCAUUUUUUCAGUUUGCACUUUGCACAGUCGCAUAUAAUAUGGAUAUUGUGUGCCUAAAAACAAAUGUGGCUAAUUUUUGUUUGAACUUAAUCUUCUUCGUAUUGAAUCAAAAAGGUGGAGGGGAUGGAGGUGAAUGCAAAUGAAGGAGGUUCCACAACAACACGUGGCGGCAUCUAUUGGCUGAUCUUACCUGCUGGCUGUAAUAUACAAUCUGUCUAUCUCCCUUAAACAAAUCAACCAUUUUCAAAUUUGGACCUUCCAUUGUUGAUGGCUAAAAGUGUUACAUAUAUAUUUGUUGUAAUGGUUAUAGAUCUUGGCUCAUCAUUUUGGGGAAUGGCUUUGAUUCUUGCAUCUACUAAUCUGCUUACAGCAAGAAUAGCUGCUGCUGGUCUCGGUCUUGCUUUAUUCAUCGUCCUCUUCAUUGCCAAAAACGUAAGUAGAAUUCAUUUUUAUCUCAUUGAGGCAUUGACAUCAAACCAAUGACAUCCAAAUUUUCAACCUUGACAGUGGACGCUUCGAGGUCUUUGUAUAGGUGUGCUAUCUCACGGUUCUUCUUGUUAAAUUUUUCAUUUUUUAGUUCUCAAAAUGAUAGUUGACAAAAAGAUUCUAACAAUCAGUGAAAAAGUCUCUCAGGUUUCAUAGUUUUCCUCGCUAUCAUAUGGGUUCUACAAGAGUUAACUACAGUAAAAAUUCUCCGUUAUGUCAUUCUGUUCAUCGGUAAAUGAACCUCAUUUUGUUCAGUCUUGUUAACAUGUUUGAGUUUCAUCUUCUCCGUAUGAAAGCCAGAUUCUUGAUAUUGCAGGUGUGAUGAAUAGCUUAUUCUCAGUUUACGGUAUGUGUUUCCUUUUCUCUCCCAAUAACUUCACUUAAAGUUAUGAACUUAUGAACAAGAAAGAAGCCUCAUUUGGUUUUGUUCUGCAAUGGCUAUUAGAUAUCUACGAUGAUCUGAUAUCGCGAAGAGUCCAUUCAAGUGAUGCUGAGAAGUUUGCAGAGAUCUGUCCUUGCUGUACUGGUUGUGGCUGGGGUGUCAUAUGGUGAGACUUUAAUCCAAUUUUACACACAAAAAACAACAAAUCUUUGUUUUUUCUUUGUUUCUGACCAAAAAUGGUUUUGAUUUUUCAGGGGAAUGAUAUCUUUUGCGUUUCUUUGCGCAUCAUUGUAUCUUGGGCUAGUGAUCCUAUCAUAAAAAGGUGUUCUUUUGGUUUUGGCUUUCUUGUUUUUUGUUAAGCACAUUUUUGCUUUUGAAUUUUGAUUAAGCGUUUUCAUGAUUUUUGUGAAUUUUUGGUGUCUCUCAGGUUUCAAAUUCUUUCCAGUGAACUGCGGAGUCUCCUUUCUUUCAUCUAUGCGCAGUUUUUUAACAGAAAACAUUUUUUUGAUUAAAAAGCUUGAUUCUUUAGAUCCCUUUGAUGUAUUUACAUUUGAUUGAAAGUUUAGGGUUUAUCAUUUUUUUUUUAUUCAUUUUGGAGUUUGUGUUGAAUAGAAUUCAUUGAUUGUUCUGUUUUAAUGCAUUGUAAGUCCGUUGAUCUUGUCAUCAAAACAAAACUCCGUCGACUUAUUCCUGUAAAUGGUCAUAGUAUCCUCGAUUAGACUUCGUCCUUUCUUCCAAAUUGAUACUUAAACACCAAAAUCUAUUAUAUAAAGACUCAGCUGAGUCUCACAAACUUGACACAUCAGCUUUCGAAAAAAAUAAUUUUCUCAAUUCCAAAAAAAUCUAAUUUAUCAGCCAUGACACAAGUACAAAUCUAGUUUCUAUCUAGAAAAGUCAUUCUCUUACAAUAAAAAGGAAAUGCAUUGAAUUUAUAGUGUUAUUACUUUGUAAACGACACCCGAGAAAAUUGAACGAGGCUAAAAUAAAUUCAUUUUUAUAAAAUGGAGCGGCAUUCCACCUAUUUUUCAUUUUUCUCUUACGCGCUUAAAAAGCUCCAGAAAUCAGGUAUAGCGCAACUGCAGUCACGUUCAUAACCAACAUUAGAAAAGAAUUAAGGUCUUGAAAUAACAUAUCCAAAAUGCAUAUUUCUUGUGUUAAUUUUGUUUUAGUGAUUGUGGUUUUUAGUGUUUCAGAUCAGAAAGGCGAUCAAAUACAUGGAUAUAAUCACUCUACUCUACGUGUCUACGAGGAGGAAAUGAUAACCAAUCCUUCUCUCAUAGAAAGAGAGCUAGGAUCAAGCUGUAUGUAGUGUAAUUACACACUAUAUAUAUAUAUAUAUAUAUUCAUUCCUAUUUUAUGUAUAUAUAUAAGAAAAACUUUAUGUGCCAUUAAAAAAAUUAUUUCUUGUUUCCAUAUUAAUUUAGAGUUUUAUAUGAUGUUUUUUGUUGUUCGCAAAACAUUGAAAAAACCAUAAAUAGUUUGUUUAUUGCAUGCAUGAAAAAUUAUGAUAUCUUUGUAUGCGUAAUGCUCUGGUGCCUAACAAUAUUAUUAGGUUUAGAGCAGAUGAUAUAACAAACGAAGUUGAAGUUUUAGAGGCAUUUUGUCUUCUGUUCAAUUUCUGUUUAUAGUUUUCGUACAUCUUAUAUAUAUACAUAAAACUGACAUAUAGUGAAUGCUUAACUCAAUCUAAAAUCAGUUAUAAAAUUUUCUUACGUAGCGCCUUAUUUCUCUGUCACAUAGACAAAAUUCUUUGUGUAUCAGGAGAAUGUAAUGCCCAAAUUUUAUCAUAUUUACUUUAUUGACGUCCGAACUUUAUAUUUUUAUAACAAAAAAUGAAUAUUUAGAAAGAAAUUAUUGUUUUUAAUAUUUAUUACCCUAAGCAGAACUCAAAGGAUUUGAGAUGAGAUUUAAAGCUAAGCUGAAACAAACAAACGCAAUAUUUUGUAUUUUAUUGUGUGUCUUUGAGUGUACGUAUUUUGUUAAUUUUAUUUCAUUAGUAAAAAAAACAGAAAAUAUAUAAUAAACAGACAGAUAUAUGUCUUAUUUUAAAGAGAUAACAAUAGAAAGUGAUUUGCGAUUACGUAAUUCUAUCAUGAUCUAGAAAAUUUAAAUUCGCACAUAUAUAUGUAUAUAUAUUAUUGAUCAACUUAACUAUUAUAUAUAUAUAAAUUACCGCGUGUACACGCGAAGUUUUAUCUAGUUAUUGUAAUAGUUGUGUACAAAAUAUCAUGGUGUAGAAAAUAAUUGUUGUAGUUAAAAAUUCAAUAAAAAAAAUAAUCAAAUUCUAUUAUAUGGAGGAAAAAUUUCAUAUUUUGUACUCUUAUUAAAUUUCAUAAUAUUUAAAAGUAAAUUUCCAUUUUUCUUCAAAAUUACAGCGAAUAAAUCCUAACUUUUUUUGUUUGAUAGAUAAGCAAUCUUUUUUGUCUGAUGGUAUAAAGAGGUAUAUCGUUUGGAAUCUUCCGAGGUUCAUCUUGCAUUAUCUUGGUUCAUCUUCCAAUAUAUCUAUUGGUUUGUAGAUUAGGUUGAAGAAAAUGAGAAAAAUUUGUAGUAAAACCUUUCUUUGAAUAUUUCUGUUAUAACGAAUGCGAAAAAAUGAAGUUAUAAACAUAAGGAACACAACACAGAUUUAACGUGGUUUACCAACGAUGUGUUGGUUACUUCCACGAACAAAAAAACCUAUUUAUUAAGGGAGGCAAAAGGUUCAGAAAACUCUGAUGAAGGUUCUGAAUCAUAAUCGGAAUACAUCAGAAUCGGAAUACAUCAGAAUUAGGUAUCACAUAGGUAUUAUAACUACCUAGUUAACCCUAAUCAUUUUUGGACCUGUCGUUCACGCCUAUGUAACGUCCUUAAGCUGAUAGCUUCGACCCAUUACUCAAACCGACAAUCUGCAGUAAGCUUCGUAGCUUACACCUCAUCUGAAAACAACUCCGCAGCUUACACAAUCUGUAACCAACAUCUUCUACAGUUUGCUAUGUAGCUUGCACCUUCCAGAGGUCACACUUUCCGCAAGUCGCACCUUAUGGAAGUCGCACCUUACGCAAGUCGCACCUUACGCAAGUCGCACCUUACGCAAGUCGUACCUUCUGCAGGUACCUUCUGCAAGUUGCACAAUCUACAUUAUGCUCUGUAGGUCCGCACCUUCUGCAACUUGCACCUCUCACAGUCUCAGAUUUAAGGCACAUUAACAAAUCUCCACCUUGUCUUGAAUCGUCCAAACAGAUGUACCAGAUGCACUUUUACAGUGCCAGAUGUACCGAAUUUUUCAUUUGCCUCACACGUUUGAUAACACCUAAUUUUGACAUAUUUUCACCAUUGAUUUCAAAUGCUUUUUCAAAGGUUUUAAUCAGUUUUAGGAAUUUUUAUUAUGAUUUCCAUGUAUUUAUAGUUUCAAGACUUUUUUCAGGAAACUUAGGGAAAAUGAUGGCAAAAUGGAAGAAAUCCACUUUUUAAAGCUCAGAGUCAGACCGUCAGAAGUUCAGCCUCAAAUGAAGACUUUUUCAACGUCUGAUCUAGUUCAAAUUUGGAGACAAUCAAGAGGAGACAACCAGAUUUCCAUAGCACUUUACAUCACAAAGAUUCAAUUGUGCAAUCAAAAGAUACAUGGAGAACAAGCUGACCCAGUUUACCAGUCCUGGAAGACUCUCACCCGCGGCAAAAUCAUGUUUUACCUGCCCUGGAAGACUCUCACCCCCGGUGUACCUUAGGACGAGCCACAAGGCCCAACAUCAAAGCCCACUUCGCCAUUCCUCUUUAGAGAAGCCCUAAAUGAGACCUGGAAAAACUUAGGACCUAUAAAUACAUUGUUUAGCGGCUCCAAACAGGUGUGUGCUCCUGUAAUGAGAUUUUGAGCCACCAAAAUCUGUUUCUCUAGGGUUAGGCGAUGGAGAUGGGGAUUCUUCCCCAGAUCCAUUGUUCUUUCUCCUUUCAAUUCUACUAACUUUUCUGUUUCACUCUUUUGCAUUUUUCUAUGUCUUUUAUUAUUCCUUGCAUCAUGUAGAUCUGUCCCAGAGAGUCAAGUUGUUUUAAGAGUCAUCGAUGAUCAUAUAUAUCGAUUAGGAUUUCUAUAGUUCUAAACCAUAUUCUGGAUCUCAUCUCUUCUAAGUUGUUCAUAUUGCAUGAGAGUAGAUUCAUGACCUAUUUUCUGAGCCUAGGAUCGAUCAGAGCCAUGAGAGUGUUGUAUCAGAUCAUCCAUACCUAGCUUCAGAAGAACAUAGUCGCUAUAGGAGUCGAAAGCUACCCAUAGAGAAGAUGUGAGCAGACGAAUUCAAUGUCUAAUGCAUGAUCUUAUUUCUGUCAUGAGAGCGAGAGUUAAUUGUCAUAUCUAAGUGAUUAGUUGAUUAAGAUGACGAGAAUUAGUUAAUCAUACAUAUGUCUAUUGUAGUUCCAUGCAGAUUCCUAGAAACAGAUGAAGAUAAAUCGCCCGGAAGCUAAUUGUAAAUGCCACCAUACAUCGAUUAUAGUAAAUCGGAGAAGUCUAAAUUGCACCCUAUGAGUUUAAGAGUAUUUAGUUUGAGUCGAUAUGCUUGAGAUAUGCUUGAGAUAUUCUUUUAACAAUUCAUCAUGCAUUGCAUUUUAUCUCUUGUGAAUAUUAGAUUAGGUUUAGUUUAGGACUUUUAACUAAAAACCCCAAAACGUUUAUUGGUUUAUGAUUUUGCUUACUUCCCAGUUUGUUGUUUCUUGCAGAUUAGACAUUCUCCCUAUGGAUCGACACCCUAAGUUCUACAAUCUGUGCACUUUCAGAUUUUAGGGUUUUAUAAAUUUAAAACUUUCUUUAUGGACCAAUGAGCUUGUAUGAAAAACAACCCUAGGCCCGUAGCUCAUCAAAGUUUUUGGCGGCGUUGCCAGGGAGGUUCUUAGUCGCUGGAGGUCUAAACCUAGGAGGUUGAAGCCACAAAAGACAAUAUAUAUGUCGAGUUUCUGCCAAAAAAUCAUAGGAAGUAAACCAAACUCAUAAACACCCUAACUUUUUUUUUUUCUGCUUAUUCUCUCUUCUGUUUGCCCUAGUUUCAGAAAUCUUUGAAGCAUGGAUCAUCCAAGAAGAAAUCCUAACCCUGAUCGAAGGUUUUGCAACUUGUGUGAAGCUCCCUACGCAUGUGAAUCACCUUCCAGGCGUGAUUCCAAUCAUCCAGUUCGGCCAGAUCAUCCGAACCACCACCAUGGAAACUCGCGACCUCUACACCAUCGAGAUGAGCCCUUCACCUGGUGAAUCGUCGACCAUCUCAUCCUCUUUCUCAUCAGAUUAUGCACCAGAACUAUGAGGAUAAUCUGUUUAAAAUCCUGCUAAAUCGAUUGGAAGCCAAGCUGAAUCAGUUCCUUGCCUCCCAAGCCAUCAUCGAUGCUGCCCUGCGAACAAGGAUAGAUGACAUGACCGUCGACCUUAACAAAAGGUUUGAUGACCUCUCUGAGCAUGUGAAGAUACUGGAGAUCAGAUAAUCAAAGAUAAUGACGUGUCGAACCAGAGAAUGGAGUCUGUCGAAGAAGAGCAGGACAAAAACAAGUUCAACAUUCGACAAAAUGAAAGGGAGCUGCAAACCCUAACUUUCAAGAUCGAUGACUUGGAUAAGGAACUGAAUGAGAGCAAAAACCAGACCUACGACUACACAUUGGAGCUGUGGCAGGGCGUAGCUAAGGUUGAAAACAAGACAGAAGAGCUUGAUGCUACUCUAGACAAAGUUGUCUAUGCUGUAGAUGAAGUAGAAGAGAAAGUUGAAAAACUUUCUAAAGAUCAUAAGGAGUAUGAUCUGAACUCUAGAAUCAAUGAUUUGGAUACCCAAGACGUGCCUAACAACCACUGGAAGCAAGAGAACAAUAAUGGAGAAGAAGAGAUUUAAGAAGAAAGCAUAGAGAGCCGGAGGAAGCUGACCGCGGCUGCGAGUACUUCACCCGCGGCCAGAGCCACUUCCACCGCGACUCCAAGCUCCUCACCCGCGGUAGAGCAUGAUUUCUCAGAUUAGGAGAACUUCCAACCUCUUUCUGAAACCUGUUCAACUGCAGACCAACCCCUUGUGACCAGAUCUAGGUUGUUUGAUCAAGUUGUCUUCUCAAUCACUGCACAAGCAUCAAAAGAAAAGGAAGAAUCCAACACUUAUGAAUCUUGCAACAUAGUUUACACUUGUGACAAUGAGCUUCAAGAGCAAUUCUCAGAAGAUGAAGAGUAUGGUUUGUUUGUUGAAGAUCCAAACUAUGGGGACAAUUCAUCUAAUGACAACUCAGAACCAAUUACCAAGAGCAUAUCCAGAGAGAGACUGAUUGAAUUCAACAAUUUUGUGAAGUCCAUUCCUCUCUACCAUGGUUUCGACGACAUCUGGAAGCAAGGCUGCCUUCAAGUUUUUUUUUCAGAUAUAGCAAGAAGACUAAGGAGAACGUCUACACUUAUUUCAGAAGAGCCAGGUAUCUAUCUUUUCCUAGAUCAUCACCUGAUGCAGCUGUUUACAUGAUCCAUCUCAAAGAUCCCCACGAAGCCAUUGACUACACAAACAAGAUCAACAAAGAAGCACUUGAAGAGUCAAUCAAGUAGUUCAAAGCCUCCUAGAAGGAAUUUCAUUUGCCAAAGCAUGUAGAGACUACAUGAUCGGCCACUUCUUCUAUGACAGCAAAGAUUCUAUUCAAGAGAUGAAAGACUUGUUCACACACGCCCAAGAAGGUAGACCAUUUCGAAAUCUGCACAAAGUUCAAGACAAAGGUCAAUUUCUUAUAUCUUGUGAUAUUAGAGGUGAAAGAUUUCUCAAUAUUCUUUGUGAUUCUGGAGCUUGCAUUAACAUGAUGUCCAAAGCAACUGCUUUGAGACUUGGCAUUAAGCACAUUUCAAAUACCAUGACAAAGAUUAGCUUAGCAGAUGGUUCAAGUGCAACACCAAGAGGGAUAUCCCGAGAUAUUCCUCUAAGGAUUGGAGAUUGCAUUGCACCUGUCGAUCUAUACAUAGUGAAGACCAAAGAUGACUCUUAUCCACUUAUCCUUGGAUGGUCUUUCUUAGCAACUGCUGGAGCCAUCAUGGAUUGGCCCAACAGGAGAUUUUAUUUUGCAAAUAUCGACAAGGAUAUCUUCUAUCAAGCUACACCACUUAAGAGCAAAGGAGAAAAGCAGAAAGCCUAGGCCUUUGAACCAGAAGAAAUCUGGAGUGAUGAAGAACCUGCAAGACAGAAGAGAAGGAUUUCGAAAAGGACUUGUCUUAGGACAAGAUCCUAUUUGAGCUAAGUCUUUUUCUUUUGCAAGUGUAGCUAAGGACUAUAAACCAAAGCGCUUGAUGGGAGGCAACCCAUUUAGCUACUUAUUUGCUUCUGUUUAUCUUUCUUUUUCUAUUAAAGUUUUGGUUUUUUUAUUUUAGACAGGCCUUAGUAUGCCACAAAAAAAGGAAGAAAAAGAAGAAAGAGAGCUGACCGCAGCCAAAGGAGGUUCAACCGCAGCCAGCAAGCAUUUUGCCGUGGCCACGAAGCUUUGAACCGCGGCCAGCACCACUCGGCCACCCUUGGCCAUUUCCACCUCUACCUUGAUUCAAAUCCAUCCAAGUUGGAUCAAGCACCACUUCACAUCAUCCACCAUCCACCAUUCAAUAUCCUACCACCUCCACAACCACCUCAUAAUCCAUCACCACACCAGGUAAGUUUUCUUUUCCUUAAUCUUUUUAAAUUUUUUCACAUACUCUAUUUCUCAUCCUUGCCUGAUUUAUUUCAUACUGGGGACAGUGUGAUUUAAGUAUGGGGGAGGAUUUCAUCCCUUUCUAACCACUUUUUCUUGCAUGAGCCUUUGCAUUCUGCAUUUUUCUUUAAAAUUUUUCAAUUUUUUUUUCGAUUUUUCACAAAACUUUUCAAAAUUCUUUUGAGUUUCAAAAAGUGUUUUCAAAGGUCAAAUACAUUUUAAGGGAAUAAUGACAAAAUCGAUGAUGAUAACCAACCUGUUUGCUUCUACACCAAUGAUUCAUAAAAAGCUCUUUCAAGGUUUAGUAUUAGACUUGGCGGUAGCUGGAGUACUUACACUACGAAAUCCUACCAGAAGACUUCUAUUCAUGAAGAUAUUUUCUAACAGGAUAUUCUAGCUCAUCUUACUUGGACUUAAUCUUGACAUCUAAUUUUCUCAUCAAUGGUUUUAAGAAGGCAUCAUGAUAUACAUCUAGGACAUCUUUAUCUUAUUGUUACCACUCUUUGUUGUCCUAGAUGGCCAGUUCAUCUUUAGCUGGUACCUCACCUUUAACCCAAACCUUUAUGUUCUAACCUCAUGCAUUCUCUCUUAAGUAUAUAUUGACAGAUAUGUGCAAAAACGCCGUAGAGGGAGGAACAACAUAGUUUUCAGUCAUUCAUGAGAAAAACUGAAAAAGACCAGAAGGGAGUGUGCCAGAAAUCUUAUGAUUCCUCAGAAAAGCUCAUUCUUAUAAGUAAAUUUCAUGCUUUUUAAGAUUAAGUCAAAAGGCAGUUUCCCCUUUCCCAAAAAAAAAACAAAAAAAAAAAGAAGGAAAGGAAAGAAAACCAAAAGCCUAAAGAGUCUUAGAAGCCGAAAUCAUUUGAGCCAAGGCAAUAGGUAUCCACCUAAGGAGUUAUGGAUUCACAACCUAGACAAAAAAUCCAAGUCUGGGGGAACUAUAAGGAGAACCUGAAGAAAGGAGAUCAGAAAUCUUAAAGCAAAGAGAAUGUGACUGAAACAGUGGGGGCAUUUACAGUUCCAUCCUCUCUUGCUGUUUUGCAUAAUGUCUUGUCUCUCCAGAAAAAGGUAACCCUAAACACAUCAAACCUUACCAUUAAAAAGCCUUUUUGAUACCUAACCUUGAAUGCCUUGUUUGAUAUCCUUUUGAUGAGAAUCACUGAAACCUUUAAUAAAUGUUAAGAGCUAGGUGACUGGAAGUUAGUUCUAAGUGUGUGGAUUUUUGCAUGACGGAUUAACAGACUAGUUAUGUUUGUAUUUUGGUGAGAAUUUUCUAGACUUGAUCUGAUUGACGCAUUGUCCAUAAUUAAGGUCUAGAAGUAUGGUUGCUGAUAUUUUUGAGUUCCCUCUCACUUUUGUUGAAUGAUAUUUUUCCAGAUUUGAUCUUGUUUUGUUUGAGGACAAACAAAGUCUUAAGUCAAGGGGGGGGGGGGUUGAUACCACACCUGAUUUUGACCCAUUUUCACCAUUGAUUUCAAUGCUUUUUCAAAGAUUUUAAUCAUUUUUAGUAAUUUUUAUUAUGAUUUCCAUGUAUCUGUAGUUUAAAGGUUCUUUUCAGGAAACUUACGGAAAAUGAUGGAAAAAUGGAAGAAAUCUACUUUUUUAAGCUCAGAGUCAGACCGUCAGAAGUUCAGCCUCAAAUGAAGACUUUUUCAACGUCUGAUCUAGUUCAAAUUUGGAGACAAUCAAGAGGAGACAACCAGAUUUCCAUAGCACUUUACAUCACAAAGAUUCAAUUGUGCAAUCAAAAGAUACAUGGAGAACAAGCUGACCCAGUUUACCGGUCCUGGAAGACUCUCACCCGCGGCAAAAUCAUGUUUUACCUGCCCUGGAAGACUCUCACCCCCGGUGUACCUUAGGACGAGCCACAAGGCCCAACAUCAAAGCCCACUUCGCCAUUCCUCUUCAGAGAAGCCCUAAAUGAGAUCUGGAAGACCUUAGGACCUAUAAAUACAUUGUUUAGCAGCCCCAAACAAGUGUGUGCUCCUGUAAUGAGAUUUUGAGCCACCAAGCUAUGUGUUAGGCGAUGGAGAUGGGGAUUCUUCCCCAGAUCCAUUGUUCUUUCUCCUUUCUAUUCUACUAACUUUUCUGUUUCAUUCUUUUGCUUUUUUCUAUGUCUUUUAUUAUUCCUUGCAUCAUGUAGAUCUGUCCCAGAUAGUCAAGUUGUUUUAAGAGUCAUCGAUGAGCAUAUAUAUCGAUUAGGAUUUCUAUAGUUCUAAACCAUAUUCUGUAUCUCAUCUCUUCUAAGUUGUUCAUAUUUCAUGAGAGUAGAUUCAUGACCUAUUUUCUGAGCUUAGGAUCGAUCAGAGCCACGAGAGUGUUGUAUCAGAUCAUCCAUACCUAGCUUCAGAAGAACAUAGUCGCUAUAGGAGUCGAAAGCUACCUAUAUAGAAGAUGAGAGCAGACGAAUUCAAUGUCUAAUGCAUGAUCUUAUUUCUGUCAUGAGAGCGAGAGUUAAUUGUCAGAUCUAAGUGAUUAGUUGAUUAAGAUGGCGAGAAUUGGUUAAUCAUACAUAUGUCUAUUCUAGUUUCAUGCAGAUUCCCAGAAAAAGAUGAAGAUAAAUCGCCCGGAAGCUAAUUGGAAAUGCCACCAUACAUCGAUUAGAGUAAACCGGAGAAGUCUAAAUCGCACCCUAUGAGUUUAAGAGUCUUUAGUUUGAGUCGAUAUGCUUGAGAUAUUCUUUUAACAAUUCAUCCUGCAUUGCAUUUUAUCUCUUGUGAAUAUUAAAUUAGGUUUAGUUUAGGACUUUUAACCAAAAACCCCAACACGUUUAUUGGUUUAUGACUUUGCUUACGUUCCAGUUUGUUGUUUCUUGCAGAUUAGACAUCCUCUCUGUGGAUCGACACCCUAAGUUCUACAAUGUACAUCUGUGCACUUUCAGAUUUUAGGGUUUUAUACAUUUAAAUCUUCCUUUAUGGACCAAUGGGCUUGGAUGAAAAACAACCCUAGGCCUGUAGCUCAUCAACGUUCCAAAAUGCACUUUACCGUGCCGGAUGUACCAGACGUCCCUUGUAUCAGAUGUACCUGAUGCACGCUUGCCAGAUGUACCAGAAUUCCCUUCUAUCAGAUGUACUAAACGCACCAAUAUUAUGCCAGAUGUACCAGAUGCACUCUUACUGUGCUAGAUCUACUUGGUGUUAAGUAGAACAGGUGUCUCUACAGACCAGACGUCCCUUUGGACCAGAUGUUCCGUCGGACCAGACUCCACUGCGGACUAGAUGUUAUUUCAGACCAUACGCCUCUUCGGAUCGGACAUUGUUUCGGAAUAGACGUCCUUUCAGACCAGACGCCUUUUACCAGGCUCAUAUACUCCUCCAGAGCCAGAUGCCUUUCACUGGGCUCAGAUGCUCCUUCGAGCCAAACAACCCUCACCGGGUUCAGACGUUCCUUCAAGCCAAACGUCCCUUCGGACCUGUAGUGUAUGAUCCACCAUAUCUUCGAAGCCAUAUAUCUCUGUGGAUCCAACCUCAUUCCUUGUAAGCUGAUCAUGACAUGUACUACGGUGAAUAUUCUCAGAUGGUGUCAGUUCUGACAGAUCAAUUUCUGUCUGUAGCUCUUGAAUCUCUUCGUGUAGCUCAGAAUCAGUCUCGUCACGAUAUAUAUACAAAUCCACCUGCAUCUGUAACUCCACCUGCUUGUCAAAGCUACUGUUCUCUGUAGCAGCUGUGGUUAAAGGUUCAUCUUGGAACCUUCUUUCUGAAUCAACAUUAGAGAACAUGCACUUCGUUCUCCGCAGCAGCAUCUGAUUCAUCUGCUCAGAUACACCAUUCGGUUGUGAUGUAUCCGUAACUGCAUGAUGUUGGACAACUCCUUCAUCCUUGCAUAGCUGAUUGAGCUCUAAUGAACAGAAUUUCUCACCUUCCUCUGACAGAAUUUGCACCUUCUUUUCACCUAUACGACCAAAGCUCUUAUGCCACAGCUUUGUUAUAUCUUUGUGGUGAAUUUCUGAAGAUGCAACAUUCACAGAACCUGUAGCUGUGGAACCUCCACCCAUACCCUUGUGCCCUCCUCUGCUGCAGGUGAAAUCACCUUCAUCAUCCUCAUUUUCAUUCAAUGGAGCCGCAAAUCUCUAUGACAGAUAACAUCUUCAACUUUCUUUUUCAAUUUUAUCGAAAAAUGUGAGAUUAGACGCAUAUAGAAUGGGAACCAUCUCUAUAAAAACAAUAGAUUUUUUUUAUGAAGAGAUAUCUGAUGUCCAAUAUAAUUUGUUGUUAUAAUUUGUAUCUAGUUUUUUUGUUAUCAAAAUGAAUGUUCAGAUGAGAAUAUUGUAAAUUAAUUCUUAUCAUGAUAUUUUGAAUAGCAUAUGAUUUUGAUUAAUAUUAAUUAAAAUCAUUAAAUUGAAACUAUAUAAUAUUGAUAAGAACUUUAAAAUUAAUUAUCUAAUGAUACAUAAUUUUAGUUAAAUUUUAAAAUCACUUAAAAUGCAUAAACUAACAGUACCCAACUCAAUAUAUCUUGGUGAAAAGGUUCUUAUGUAAAAGUCUAAUUAUAUAAAAAUUAUAGUAAGGAAAAAGAAUGUGCGUUCUUUCAAAAAAAAAAAAAAAAAAAAAAAAGAAGAAUGUGCAGUGAGCAAUCAUAUAUUCCCUUUAAAUAGUCUCAGUACUGUCAUUUUGAGUUUACCCUCUGUCUCCCCUAUUUUUUAUAUUUACAGUUUUUUAAUAUUAGGUUUUUACUAAAAUAAAAAUUUCACAUCGUGAUUUAUCAGAUGGAUCCUAUCCAUUUCUCAAUUUAAUAAAUAAUAUUUCUUAAAACUUUUCUUGUCUUACUAUAUUCUCAGCAUUUUGUAACACUAAAUAUUUAAAAUGCAAUAUUUAUAUCUUUUUGGACUUUACAUUGAUAUAUAUAAACUUUCGAAUAUUAUUAUGUUAGAUACACAAUUUCUAACCAGAGAGGAAUUUACAUAGUAAAUAAAAUGAUAUUUAUCAUAUUUUUGUAAUUCUAUUAGAAUUAUCUACAUUUUUAUAUGUGUAAAGCUCAUAUAAUUGGUUUUGCAUUCUUAAUGAAAGUUUGUUAAUAGAACUAAUAUAAUUAUAUCAUGGAAGAAAAACUAAUAGAAUUUAUUUUUAAAAAAUGAUAUCAAUCUAUCAAUUUUAUUGGGCACUAAAACAUUUAGGGUCCUGCCAUUGACCAAUACUGUCUACCUCCCAUAUAUCUACCAUUAAGCCAAUACAAUUAUUUAAACACUUUUGUAGAGAAUUUUUUUCUACAUUUGAUAUUUAUAGAAAGACCUAAAAAGAAAUAAAAUCUAUACUUUAUCAAUAAUAUAAUUCUGAAAGGUCGUUUUGAGAUAUAUGUGAUAUAAUAUUAUAAUAUUUAAUUUAUAUAUGAUAUCUAAACUUUACCAAAUACUAAAGUUUUAUAUUUUGAUUAGUCUACAUUGAGAUUACAUAUUGUUUCAUUAAAAUAUUUUAUUUUUAUUUUAUGCUAAAUUUAUAAUCAAUAUUAGAGCAUUUAUUACUUGGUCAUAGGUUUUACUAGAGUUGAAUUUCAUAAAAUAUUAAAUUUGGUCAAAUUAAAAACAUUUGACUCAUUUAGAAUAUGUAAAGAGUAGCGAGCCAAAAGAAGUUGAACUUCUCAAAUAUAAAUUAAAUUUUCAAGCGCAAAGCUCAUGGUACAAUCAAGAAUCUGAAUAACUUUUGAAUGGCCACAUUAUUGUAUAUGAAUUACAUACAUGUAUAUGUAUGAUAGAAUAUAUAUAUAUAUAUAUGUUUUCUUGGUAGUGAAUGAGAGGAGGAAAAAAAAUAAGAGGAGAAACAAUGAGAAAAAGAAAAGUUCAUAAAAACAAAAAUCACAAAAUCAUAAAGUUUUUUCAUUCUUAUUGUUCUGCUCUUAUAUUUUUUUCCUGUCUCUCAUUCACCACCAAAAAAACACAUAUAUAUAUAUAUAUAUUUAUGUAUUUUUGUGUAGCAUUUGACCAUGCCAAUCCGAAAUGCUAAACAAAAAUAUAAUUUAUUUUUCCAGAUUACAGGCCAAGAGAUAGUAUGGAGAUAUAUAGAAGGCGAUGGUAUGAGGGUUACAAAAAUAUUCAGACUAUUAACUCAGAUUAAAAAUUCUGUGAGAAGAAAAUUCAGAUAUGAUUCCAGAAUUAUUUGUUGAGAAUCAAUCCAAAGUUCCACAUCGGAAGUUUAGACUAAUAUGGUCUAAUAUAUAAGUAAUGUCCAACUCUAAUUAGUAUGAGGUCUUUUGGGAAGGAGCCCAAAAUCAAAUCCGUGUGGGCUUUGUCAGUUGGGCCCAAAGCAAACAAUAUCAUACUAAUUGAAAAAGUUGGACAUGCGUUUUUCAAGCCCAAUAUUAUUCAGGUGAAAAUUUUCAUCACUAUUUUCAGAAUGAUAGGCUAAAGUGUAAGAGACAUUUUAUUAUUAUUGUAUCUCAAAAAACGUGGAAAUGUUACAUAAGCCUUUAACAGUCUUUUUAAAAAAAAAGCUAUAUUCAAGAUAUUUAGUUUUUUUUUUAAAUAAUAUAUAUAUAUAUAUAUAUAUAUAUACACAUAUAUAUGAUAUUUAAACUCUAUAAAUAAGAGUUUGAUAUUUCUAGUCCAGAUAAAGUAACGUUAUAAUGCUGCCCAAAAAAUAAUACUACAAAUAAUUAUUUUCUAUUAAAUUUACAUUAUAGCAUUUUUUUUUAUAACAUCUAUUUUAUUAGAUAGUAAAAAAGUAAUACAUCAUGUUUACAAGCCAUUUUGGCAAAGAUUGAAAAACAUAAUACAUAGCAUGAAAACAACAAUACAUAAAAUUAAAAACACAAAGCACUAAAUCAAAGAAGAUGAGUUUAAACGAUUUUUUUCUUCGAAUUUUUCUCGCUGAAAAAGUGUCCACACCUUCUUUCCUCGUAAUCGCAUUUGAUCUAAAGCGAUUUUUUUUUUUGCUAUGAUCCAUCUUUUCUCCUGUUGUAUGUUAUUGACACAUUUCCAAGUAAGAACUAAAAAUAUUCUAUGAAUAAGAAUCCAAUCUUUUGAUUCUUUCCAUAGAAAAAAUACUUGAAAUUGCCAAUUUUCUACGACUGUACGUAUGUCGCCAUACCACAAGGAGUUUUCAUCUUCCGCUCCAAACCCUUGUCCCCUCCAUGGUGGUUUCCAUGUUUGUUGUUCCCAUAGUAAUGCCAUAUCCGGCUGAAUAGAAUCAUCGAAGAAGAUCAAACAUAAAACCCAAAUUCGCCAAUCAUCGUUUCCAUGACUCCUAACUUCUCCUAUUCCCGGAUCAAAAACCCAAAUUACAUCUCCAAACCAUACAGUGGAGGAUAAUAAAAACUGCUGUGAGUGUUGAUUUAAUCUUGGAUCAAUUUGAGUAAAUUGGUUCAAGAAAGAAUUAAAAUCCCAACCAAAGACUUGACGAAUUAUAGCAUUUAUUAUUUGGUCAUAGGUGUUACUAUAGAUGAAUUUAAUGGAAAUGUUAUUUUUGGUCAAAUCAAAAUUAUUUAAUAUUUAUAAUAUGUAAAAAUUUGAUCCAAAAGAAGUUAAAACAUAAAUAGAAUCUCAAACCACAUGAUACAAACAAGAAUCUGAAAAAAAGUUUGGAAUCUCCAAUAUGAUAUACAUUUGCAUUAUUAAAAAAAAAUGGCACUCAUUGUUCUUCUCUCAAUGCUUUUUUUUGUUUCCUUCUCUCAUUCACCACCACGAAAACACACACACAUAUAUAUAUAUAUAUAUAUAUAAAUAUAUAUAUAUGUCAUGCAUUAUCAUUUAUCAUCUCAUCGAUCUAACUCAUGCACUCAGGAUCAUCAUCAAAAUGAUCUUCUCCCUCCAUAGCCUCUCUUGGAUUUCCGGCUUCCAUAUUCUGUUUUCCGCAGGGCUCCAUCACAUUAUGUUUCUGACUUGUCGACACUAGAUUCAUAGAAAGUGAUUGAUCAUGGUUGGUGUCAGGGGUUGAGUCCAUCAGGGUAUUAAAGGCAGAGUCAUGUCCAAUACACCUCGUCGAAAAAAGAAUAUCUUCCUUAGAAGAGCCAAAAUUUCGAACCAACAGUCAAUAUCCAUCUCAUUGACGUCAAUGUCAAAAUAAAUCAGCUCUUCGAUCGGAACAUCAUUAUCUUCCACAUAAGGAACCAAAGCCAUAUCUUCCAUAUUAGUUUCAAGGGAUUGGGUUUUAUUGGUUUCAAAAGAAGCAUGUCUUCAAGAAGAAGAAAACUUUCUUCAGAAAACAACCAAUCUAUCUGGUCUGUAUUGGUUUCGAAAAUGGUGGUCGUAUUGGUUUGAGAAGAGGUUUCAUAACUUGUUUGACCAGAAGCAAAACCGACAUGGGAAAUGACAUUUUGAGAAAGAACAUGAUUUUCUCCAGAAGAAACCAUACCCAUCUGGUUACUGAUUUCAGAGGGAAUCAUAUUUUCAGAAGCAACAUAGCCUUCUACUGAAGAAAUAUUGGUUUCAGGAACAUUUAUGUUCAUAUCAGUUUGAGGAAGAACAUAAUUUUCUAGGGUAGGAAUCCAAUCCAUCUGGUUCAUAUUGGUUUCAGAUGACUAAUGUUUUCUGUUGAUGGAACACAACCUAUUUGGUUUAUAUUGGUUUCAUGAUCGCGAAUAUUAUCGGUUGAUGGACUCCAACUUAUCUGGUCCAUAUUGGUUUCUAAAGUGUUCAUGGUAAAGUCUAGAUCUGGAAGAAAAUAACUUUCUCCCAUAAUGCACAGAUCAGCUUGAGGAACAUAAGGCUCUGGUAUAUAAAUAAAGUCUAGAUCUAGUUGGUUCCAAUCGAUUUCAAGAACAGAUGAGCUAGGUUGAAAUGGGUUAGGUUCAGACUGAGGAAUACAAAUCCCGGAAGACUCCAUCUGGAAUGCAUCUGUGUUAGAUGCACCAACACUUGAUGACAAACCAUAAAGAACAGGAGGGUUAUCACUACUUAAGCCACUAUGGUUAGAUGCACCAACACUUGAUGACAAACCAGAAAGGACAGGAGGAUUAUCACUUAAGCCACUAUGGUUAGAUUCUCCAACACUUGAUAGCAAACCAGAAAGGACAGGAGGAUUAUCACUACUUAAGAUAAUAUGGUUAACAUCAUGGAUAGAAAAAAUAUGGGAAGGUGGGUUGUUACUUGUGGCUGAAGGAGCGUAAUUGACUUCCAUAGGUGACUUGUUUAAUAGGUUACCAAAAAGUGAGUGUUUACUCAGAUCCAAUUUUCCACCUAGAUGAAACUUGGGCACCAUCUUCGCUUUGCCCUUUUCAGCAGAUUUUUUGAAUGAAUCUGCAUACAAGAAAAACAAAAAACAUUAUUGACACAAAGAUGUUGAAUUGUGAAAAGUAUAUAUAUAGUAAAAGAACAUGACUUGCAUUGGUCGAUGGAUCAGGAGGAUGCUUCCUUCUUUUUCAGAGAAUACCACUUUGUGUUACUUUCAACGAUAUUCUUUGCUAAGUUGGAUGCAUUGAAAGGAUAUUCAUAGUCUGAAGGGUAGUUGAAUGUCUUAUCUGUUGACCUCCAUUCAUUCCUCGACAACGAAUGGUUCAUUAGCUUAACUUGUGCUUUGUAUUUCUGAAACAAUUAAUUAUAGAAUAAAACAGGUUAUCAUAAGGCUAGUAAAAUUAUAUAUUGAAAAAGAGUGUAUAUAAAUGUAUAUAUGAACCUGAAGGUGGCUACCGACUUGGCAAAGAUUCAAGUCUGAGUCAUUCAUAAUGCUCAAUAUGGAUUUAGGACAAGAAUCUGUAGGAUAAAGAACUGUAAUCAAUUGGUAGAAAGAAGAAUUGGUCAAAACAAAAAAAAUCUUACCUUUUGCACCCAAUAUGGAUAUAGCUGUUAAAAAUAUCAUUUGGCGCUCCUGGAGUCAAUACAUUGCAUCGUCUUCCAAUAUUACUCUCCAUAUUUAUUCCUUCCUCUCUCUUGUUCUCAGCCUCAGUGGGAUAAACCGGUUUAGUUUUUCCUUCAUCAAUUGCUUUGCCUUUUCUCUUUUGGUAUGUUUCAGGGGUUGUAAAUGUUUUGACGAAGGGUCGUCUUCCUAACAAAGAUGACUGACUUGUUCUCUGCCUCUUUAUGGUUUCUCUAAGAGAUUCAAUCUGAUUUAGUAUAUUUUUCUCCACAACUUUCUCUUGUUGUUCAGCGAUGUUGAUUUUCUUUAACUCUUGGCUCUUCUUAGGUACCACAUGCUGCCAUAGGUUUUCGAUGUCGUUUUCAGAAAUCGGCUUCGUUAGACAAAAACGUGCACUUUUUGUCAAAAGAUCUGAUGUUUCCUUGGUAUUUAUUUCUGGACUUAUCACUUUAACAUCAAAAAAAUAGAUAAAUUAAUCUGUGGAAGAAAGUAACAAACAGUGUAAAGAGUAAGCGCAAGAAGAAUGUGUAAAUGUUUGCUUACGUAUAAGAGGAAUUUUUUUGUGAAGCAAAGCAGUGAGAAAGGAAUGUGAAUCUAUAUGAGGCAUUUCAAUGUUGGCUAUCACAAGUCCAGUAUCCUUUUGCUUUUCGAUCAUCGAUAAAGCCUCACUUGCCUUGUUCAAGCUCAUCACUAGUACAUCAAUUUAUAUAUUAAAUAUUUACAAAAUCCAAAAAAAAACAUUGUUCAAAACAAUAAUCAAGUUUCUUCCAUUUUAGUUUUAGUUAUAUAAAAAAGUUGAAAAAACAAUAGAUUAACACGCACAUUUUCGAUUAUAUAUGAUGAUUAGCUAACCUAAUACAUAAUAUAUUAUUUAUAUACAUAUUAAUAUUUGAAAGAAAUUUUUUGGGCUAGAACCAGACAUCUAACAAUCUGAUUAUCCGAUUAAAAUAUAGAAUAUAUGUAUUAAAACUCAACAAUUAUACAUCUAGGGUAUUCAAUAAAAAAUUAAUAAAAAAUUAGAGUUCAAAUAUUUUAUUAAAUUCUUUCUUAUCGAUUUUUAUUUAUUUACAAAAAAAUAUUUUAAAAGAGAAAUUUAUAUGCGUAUUAUCAAUUAUAUUUGAUGAUCGACUAAUCUAAUACAUAAUACAUUAUAUAUAUAUAUAUAAAUAUUUGAAAACUUUUUCCAGCUAAUACCAAACAUUCGAAAUCAUGUUAAGAAAUCAUUUCUAAAUAACAUCAGUUAUCAAAAUCUCAUAUAUAUUCCACAAAAUAUAGAUUAUACUAAAAUUUAAUGGUUUUUACAAAAUAGUAUCCAAUAUCUAUGACAUAUUAUUAUCCAAACUAAUAAUCGUAGGUGAUUAGGAUUUUCAACAAAAGGGUUGUAAGAAAAUCAUCUUCAAAACUGAGAUCCAAGACCAAUCAGUAGCCUAUAGCUUUAAUAUUCUGUAAAUUAAAUUAUAAAUUAUAAUUUUCUAUGCGAAUUCACAUUUCUUCAAAUUUGUUCAGAGAUCCUGAUUUAUACAAUGUAGAAAUCUCAAGAUCUAGAGACGUUGAAUUAUAAUCAUCAGGAAAAUAUUCAGCAAAUGCUAAAAUUUACCAUACCAAAUGUAACAAAUUAGAAUAAUACCGUUGAUAUGUAAAUGGAAAAAUGAUCAACAUCAAUAUAAAUGGUAAACAAUUUUUUUUUACCUUUAUACGAAAAUUGCUUAAGCAUUGAAGUGAGAAAUUCAAUUGAUGUAGUGUCAUUAUCGAUUAGCAGAACUGAAAUAUCACCAAUGCGUUCAGGAACUAUGUUUCCAGCCAAAUUUACGGUCAACUUUUCAGUCAUAUUUUCAAAAAUAUAUGAUAUGAAGGUUUGAAAUAAUAACCGAGUUAAGGGGAAAUAAGCUAUUGCAUGGACGUAUAUAAAAGAAAGAAUAGAAAUUGUAGACCCAACAAGGUCAUAAAUUGCAAACAACACCAGAUGAAGAAAACUAUUUUAAUUUCUAUCAAAUAUAUUUCAUUUCAUCAUUGACCCUACCUAUAAUAUAUUUUUUUAACUCUAAAAAUAUACCCAGUCUAAAGUAUAAUCUAUUAGUUUAUAUAAUUCAAAAUCUUAUCAAACACAUGGUAAAUGAUAUUAUAGCAUUGGUAGUGAUAAAUAUAAUUAUUUUGGGAAUAUUAUAGUGUUUCUUGACCGAUAUAAUUUGAGAAUUUACACGAUAGUCAUCGACUUAAAAAUCCAUAUAUAGUUAGUUGUUAUUUCAUUUAUAAAUUUUGACUAGAAAUAUACAAUUAGUUCAUUUUUUAUACAAUGUUUUAGAAAAUGAUUAAUUAAUUAACAAAAAGUAAACAUAGAAAAUUUUUGUAUAUGCAUAAAAGAUUUUUCAUAGAAAAAUUUGGUGGAAUUAUGUUUUCUCUUUUUUCUUAUAAUUAGAUAAUAUUUUUAUUUCAGUCAGGAAAAAAUGUAGCUACAGAUGUGUUUUAGAUUUAUGGAAGCGUAAAAUAUUCUUAAUAUGUAAAGUAAUAUAAGUUCUCUAUAUAUUACACAAAAUAUAAUUCAAAUUUUGUUAAUAGUUUUGAUAUCAAAAGUUAUUCAUGCAUGCGUUUUACAAUUCGAUCCUUACCUUAUUUCGAGUACAAUAGGCAUGUGACUGGUCAAGUUUUUAAACUCUUAAGUAACUUCCAUAAUUACGUAGAAACUCAAAAAAAUUCAAGAAUAGAAUAAGGUUCAUCUUUUUAUAAAUGUUUAAUUUGAAACGUAUGCUAACACUUUAAAAUAAAGUAUUGAUAAUUAUAUGUUGUGAUGUUGUGUAAUGUAUAACUAAUGCUCGUUUAGUAGUGAACUCGUGAUCAAUGAUGGACUCCAGCUACAAGUUUGUUUUCCUUCCGAUCUGUUCACUACACUACAAGAAAGAAGACCUUUUAUAUUGGAAGAUAUCGACGUAAAAUCGACGUAAUGGGCCAUUUACGUCAAAUUAGUGACGAAUGAAAAAUUAUCGUAAAACAAUCAUCGUAAAAGAGAAAUCGUCGUAAAAUCUUCGUAAAUUACCAACACAAUAAAAUCGUCAGAAACAAUUCGUCGCAAAAACGACGUAAACGUUCCAACGAAAGUACGACGAAUUAAUUUUAACACAACAACGACGUAAAAUCGAUGUAAAAUUACAUCGGAUUUACAACAAUUUCGAGACGAUCUAUUUCGCAAAAGUCAAAUAAAUUUAUUAUAGAUCGACGUAAAAUCGUCGUAAUAUAUCGACGUAAAGUCGACAAAAAGUAUAUGGACGUUUUAAAAUAUUUGCCUUUAAUUAGACGUAAAUUUACGACGAGUUUACGUCGAAUUAGAAAAAUAAUUAUUAAAAUUGGAUUUUAAUUUAAUUAUUGAAUUUUUAAAAUAAUCAAAUAAAGGAAAAUUUAAAUUUAAAUUCGAAAAUAAUUCAUAAAUUAAAAUACAAAAUUAAAUACAAUUUAAAAAAAAUAAAAACUAAUCUACACAGUAAAUUCAUAAUCGUCGAGGUUGAGAUCGACGUCUCGAGGAGGCUCUCCGUCAUGUCCGUCCGUCGCUGUUGUACCAUCGUUUCCCGUCUGCACUACGGGAUCCGAAGUCUGACCCUGCGUCUGCUGGUCAGAAGGUCCACCCGCAAUAAUCCUGUGUGCUCGCCGUUGCCUCUCUCGAAAGUGGAUCGUGAAUAUUUCUAAUCCGUUUUUGAAGUCUUCAGUCAAUGACCCAUCAACAUUUUUGGGCGUAUACAUCCACUUUCGUAGAUCGUAUAUAGACAUUUAAAAACAAAUAAAUGACUUUUUGUUUUUGAAUUUUGAUAUAAAUUUCAACUACUAAAAAUUUUACUCAAACAUUCAAAGACUCAAAAAAUUGUGUCUUUAUAUGUUUUUUUGGUUGAUGGAAUAAUGAGAGAAGAAAUGGUAUAUAUAGAUUUUUUGUUUGGUUACCAACAUAUUGCCAUUGAAUAUUAACAUCAAAUUUACGUCGAAAUAAAAUUUACAUUAUAUUUACAUCGAUAUUACGUCAACUACAAGAUGGAGGCCAAUUCAUCGUAUUAUCGAUGUAAAAUUUACGACAAUGUUACGACGAAAUGUAAUUCGUUCUUUAUUCGUCAUAAUGUUGUCGUAAGUUUAUGACGAUUUUACGAGAAUACUAUUUUAUAUCGAAACGACGAAAUAUUUUGACGUCGUACGUAAUUUCGUCGUAAAUUUACUACGACCAUAAAUCGACGUAAAAAAUUCGUUGGAAAUGUCCCUCUUUCUUGUACUAUACAAGGAUUCAUAAAUAAUGAAGCUGUUUUGUUCGGUGAGUGCAUUAAUGUGAGUUAUACAAAAUUUACAUUGGUUACAAAAUUAGGAGACCAUCUCCAUCGGUUUGUUAGGUAAUUUAGAUAAUAAUAAAAAUUAAGAAAUGAUUAAAAAGUUAACAAUUCGGGUUGUUAGGUUGUUGUGGAAGAACCCAGGAAUAUAUAAAAACGUGGCACCAUGUCAUUGGUGGAAGAUUUUUUAUGUGUGUGGGCUAAAAAUCAGGAAUAAGCCCACAUAAAAAUUCUUAAUUUUUUUAAUUAAAAAUUCAUAAUUAAAAAAAUUUUAAGAAACCCAAUCCCAGGUUUAGGGAUGGAGAUGUUUUGCGUGAGUACAUUUUCUCUUUCUUAUAUAAAGUGGAUCCACCAUAACUCCUAAACUAAAUGAGACACACGAUGAGGCCGCAUACAGUGUGGAGAAGGUACACAAAUUCCGCAUUAUCGUUAUAAAAGCUAUGCGAAGUCUUUAAAAAUUAUCUACCGUUCUAAUAACUAACUAAAGUAAUCACGAGAAAUAGUAGUUGGAUAACAAGAUUUUUUUUGUCUUUCUGCUAAGGGCGAAAAAAGUAAUGUAACCUGAGCUCUUUUGCAUCUCUUCUCCGGCGAUGCCGACAGCGUCGGUCUCAUCCUCUUCUCCUCAUGGGGUAGAAAAAACAACCCAAAAAAUCUCCACCAUCCAAACCCUUGUGCCCUCCUCUGCCGCAGGUGAAAUAACCUUCACCAUCUUUGUUUUCACUCAAUGAAGCCGCAAAUCCCUUUGCUCACUCAGUGGCGGGGGAUCCUUCGUCUCUAGCACAGCAAAUCCUUACUGAUUCUGAUUCUCUAGCCUCGACUGACAGCAACUCUCGCUCAGAUCCAAUUGUGAUAGUUCCUGCAACAGUCCAAGCCCCCAAAUAUCAUUUAUGUAAAAGUUGUUGAGACAACAGAUCCAGAACUGAAGAACUCAUCAGUAGAGGCACCAAUUGUCCCGACAAUCCCUGCCUCUGAAUCUGUUUCCGUGAAAUAGUCUUUGGCUGCAGUUCCGGAAAUCCUAAAAAGUUCAAAACCCACUGUGAGUGAUUUGUGGUCAGGAUUAUUCAAAGGUGCUACGAAGCAACUGCAGAAGAAAGGCACAACUUUUACCUUCCCAUCCGAUGAAGCUUAUGUGAAGAUUCUCAAAUAUGUAAUCGAAAAGAACAAAAAAUCCUGGGAAAGUUUCAUCUGUGGGCAAUUAUACACAGAUACGCCCUCCCAGAAAACUGUUCAUAACAUCGUGAAUGGAAUUUGGAGUAAGCAUUUCUGUGAUAUUACAGUAUCAAAGAUAGAGGGCAAUACCUACCUUUUUCAGGAUACCAAAUCCUUCCACUCGACAAUGGGUUUUAACUCAGAGAUUAUGGCAGAUAGAAGGUAAAACGAUGUUUGUCACGAAUUAGGAGUCUGGCUUUGUUCCAUUGAAGCCCGAGCUCUCGUUGUCCCCUAUUUUGCUGAACUAAGAAAUGUUCCUCUACAGUUCUUCAAUGAAGACGGCUUUGAACACAUUGCGGGAUUUGUUGGAGAGCCAAAAUGUCUCCAGCCUAUAACUGCAAACAAGACAAAUCUGUAAGUAACGAAGGUAUUCACGAUAACUGAUCCUCGUAAACCUCUUUCAGAAGUUGUCAAUAUCCAAUUUGAUUCUGGAGAGAUCAAUAGAGUUUUAGUGUCCAGUCUGUGGAUGCCACCACUGUUUUAGUUCUGUAAGAGGUGAAUCAUCAUCUGAGGCAGUGCAAUGAAGCUCCAAUCUUUUGCAAGAAGUGCAACUCAAAAAUUCACGUGGAAGAGAAUUAUGCAAGAACCGUCCUACCUGAACAAAAUAAUCCAAACUCCCAUAGAAACAGAGCCAAGGGAUUAGCUGGAAAUACUUAGAAGUGGGUUAAAGUUGCUGAGAAAUCAUCUGCCAAAUCUGUCAAGUUUACUGAGUCUUCACUGGGGAAAGAAAACAAAUCUUCAAAGGGAGAGUUCAGUGGCGCUGUGGUCUGGUACAUCUUCAAGGGAAGAUCGACGAAAAUGUUAAAGGUCCUCCUAUCCCUGACACAAAAAAAUCAUCAGGAGUGGAAUCAGAUUCUUCGGACGUUGCUUUUGUGGACUUCAGCAAUGUUGUAAACCUGCAGGGUGAGCAGAGUGAGUUCGCAGAGGUAGUUUCAAAAAAGAAGAAGAAGGAUAAGAGGGACAAGAGCCCCAACAAAAGCAGCUUAAUAAAUGGUUGAAGAAAAACAAACCGUUUUAUGAGAGUAUUAUAGAAACCCAUGUGAAACAGCCUAAAUGUAGGAAUUUCAUUAAUAGAUCGCUUCCCGGCUGGUCUUUUGAACAGAAUUAUGAUUUCUCCAUUUAACAAGUGUAAAGGCUGUUGUGGUGGCUAAGUCUUUGCAGAUGAUCACCUACAAAGUUAUGUUUCCUGAUGUGCAGCAGUGGGUUAUUUUGUCAGUGAUGUAUGUUUCUACAGUUGAGACUCUGAAAAAGGAUCUUUGGGCAGAGCUGAUUGUUUUGUCUUCAAGCCAGACUGUUGAAGAAAAAGAAUGGAUGGUCAUUGAGGAAUUUAAUCAAGUUCUCCAUCUACAUGAGCAUUCAAGAGCUAUUACUCUUAAUGUGGAUAGGAGGACAAGAGAAUUCAGGCAGUGUUUGUUGUCGGCUGAGGUGUCAGAUUUGAACUACUGAGGAAACACAUUUACUUGGUGGAAUAAAUGUAGUGCCAGGCCAACUGUGAAGAAGUUGGACCACAUUCUUGUAAAUGAGGUUUGAUCUACUUUUUUCCCCUCUUCAUAUGCAAUAUGUGGAGAGCAUGGUUUUUCAGACUAUGCUUCUUGUGUUGUCGUCUUGGAGUUGGGUUCUCAAAGGCAGAGGAGACCUUUUAAAUUCUACAAAUUUUGCCUCCAGAACCAAGACUUUUACCCUCUGGUUUGUGAACAUUGGUUCUCAUGUAACAUGGUGGAAUCAGCAAUGUUAUGUCUCUCAAGGAAGCUUAAGCUUCUGAAAAAUGUCAUAUGUAGAUUCAGUAGAGAUAAUUUCUAGGAUUCAGAGAAAAGAGUUAUUGAAGCUCAUGAGAAGCUUUUGCUUUGCCAGUCUUAGACUCUAACUGAUCUGUCUCGAACAAAUGCAAAACUGGCGUUUGAAGCACAAAGAAAGUGGCAGAUCCUGGCAAGUGCUGAAGAGUCCCUUUUCUGCCAGAGAUCAAGUGUAACCUGACUUAAAGAAGGUGAUUGUAACACUUCUUAUUAUCACAGAAUGACUGCAUCUAGGAAAGCCAUAAAUCACAUUCACUUCCUUAUUGCACCAGAUGGAGAACAUUUUGAAUAUCAAACAGGAGUUUAAGAGCAUUGUGUUGAUUAUUUCUCACACUUUAUGGGUUGUGAGGUUGGUCCCCAGAUGCUGAUCUAGUCGGAUAUGGAGCUCCUCCUUCCAUUUUGAUGCUCUCAGGCCCAAAAAGAGAGUAUGAUAAAGAGCUUCUCGAAGGAGGAAAUCAAACACCUGCUUUUCUCAUUGCCAAAAAACAAAACCAGUGGACCUAAUGGGUAUUCCGCUGAGUUUUUCACCUGUUACUGGAGUAUUGUAGGGCUGAGGUAUGUGAGGCAGUUGAAGAAUUCUUCCGAUUUGGAAAGCUGCUUCAGCAAUGGAACACUACAACUUUGAUCCUCAUUCUCAAUAUCACAAACGCCUCUUCAACAUCUGAUUUCAGGCCAAUAUCCUGUCUCAACACUAUUUACAAAGUCAUAUUCAAGUUAUUGGCAACCAGAUUUCAGAAGAUCCUGUCUCAGGUAAUAUAUCCCUCUUAAUAGGUUUUCAUGCCAGGUAGGCUGCUUGCAGAAAACGUUCUACUGGCUACGAAAAUUAUGCAUGGCUAUAACUGGAGGAACAUCGAUUCCAGAGCAAUGCUUAAGGUGGAUCUUAGAAAGGCAUUUGAUUCAGUAAGAUGGGACUUUGUCCUCUUGACCUUAAAAGCGUUGGAGUUAUCAGAAAUAUUUGUUAAAUGUAUCAGUCAGUGCAUCACAACUCCCUCGUUUACAAUUUCAGUUAAUGAUAUCACCAGAUGCUACUUCAAAAGCGCAAAAGGAUUAAGGCAAAAAGACCCUCUCUCUCCUUACCAUUUUUCCUUGCAACGGAGGCCUUCUCAGGAUUUUCCACUCUAGAUUUGAGGCUGGGUAUAUCCAUUACCAUCCCAAGACGGCAGAACGGAACAUAUCUCACCUGAUAUUUGCAGAGGACGUGAUGAUUUUUUUUAUGGUGGGAGUUCAUCGUUACACAGCAUAACUGAAGGAUUAGAAAACUUUGCGUCUUGGUCAGGAUUGCACAUGAACAGAGACAAGACUCAACUAUUUCAGGCAUGAGUAAACCACAUUGAAUCCACUGCAAUGGCAAGCUAUGAAUUCACUGUAGGUUCACUAUCAAUCCAAUACUUGGGUCUUCCCCUUAUGCAUCGUAAACUGAGACUCUCUAAGUAUGACCUCCUUUUGGAGAAGCUUGCUAAUAUAUUCAGAUCUUGGGCUGUUACAACCCUCUCAUUCCCAGGGAGAGCUCAGCUGAUUGCUUCAGUGAUAUUAGGAACCGUCAACUUCUAGAUUUCCACGUUUAUGCUCCCCAAAGGUUGUAUUAAAAAUUGAAUCUCUGUGUGCUAGGUUAUUGUGGUCUGGUAGUAUUGUGACAAGAUGAGGAGUAAAAGUAGCAUGGUUUACUGUGUGUUUGCCUAACUCUGAAGGAGGUCUGGGCCUGAGAAAAUUUUCUGUGUGGAACAAGACGCUAUGUCUGCGGUUCAUUUGGUUACUAUGCUCUGAAAGUGGAUAUCUCUAGGCUGAAUGGCAUAUCAGAGCUUCUGGUUGGUGGAGGCAUAUUCAGCUGAUUCAUGGACGUGGAAAUCUCUAUUGGAUCUUAGACCAUUGGCUGAAAUGCUCUUAGGAAAUCUGUUGGAAAUGGACGAAAAACAAAUUUUUGGUUGGAUUUUUGGACACCUCUUGGUCCACUAAUUAAACUUCUGGGUAAUGAUGGCCCGAGAAAUAUCAGGCUCCGUCUUUCUGCUAUAGUCGCAGAUACAUGCACAAUGGAGACUUGGAGAAUCCCAUCGCCAAGAUCUGUAGCACAGCUGAGUCUCCAUAUGCACCUAACGACUAUCAACUUACCUUCUUCCUCUCAGAUCGAAGAUGACUGUUUUUGGUUGGAAAAUGGUGUUAAGUGCAGCCAGUAUUCCUCCUCUAAGACUUAGGAUGAUCUAAGGCCACAACAAGGUGAAACAGUGGUCUAAGCUUGUAUGCUUUAAAGAUUGUGUUUCGAGGCAGGCUUUCAAUAUAUGGAUUGCACACUUGAAUAGGCUCCCCACUAGAGCCAGAAUAGCUUUUAGAGGAACAAAUAUAUUCACAGAUUGUUGUCUUUGUUCCAGAGACGAGGAAACGAGAGAUCAUUUGUUGUUCAGUUGUGCUUAUAGCUCGGAAAUCGGAAAUCUGGAGGCUGAUACUUACAAGGUUAGACCAUACCCAGAGUCUGUUCAUCUUGUGGUCGGAGUUGUUAUCAUGGAUAAGUAUGCGUUCUGAUGCUGCCCCUUAUACCUGAAAGGUGGUGGCUCAGGCUAUGGUUUACCACAUUUGGAUGUCAAAGAAACAAUUUGCUGCACAACUAAUAAAGGAUUCCUGCAUCCAGCAUUUUCAAGUCCAUUGAUCGUGUGACUCGAAACACCAUUACUACGAGAAGACAAAGACGUUGCUUUAGCAACUUUAAUGUCUCUUUGGCUUCAAUGAAACAAUAUAAAAUCUAAUUUACUGUGUAUUGUUCUCCUUGUUUUUUAUUUCUUUUUUGCCAAGGAAGUUUUGUAACAGGUUAGCAUCUUUUAUAACCUUCUUUUCAUUUUAAUGAUAUUAACAUUCAUAGCAAAAAAAAAAAAAAAAGAAAUGGUACUUGCAAUGUUUUACACCAUGUUUGUGUUUUAAAAAUAUUUCACACUACAUAUUCAAAGUUAUAAUGCAGGAUACAAUUUGUUUCUAGUCGAAAAGGUCAAAAAUAUCCAAAUUUUUUAUGUGGUGUUUUCAAGAAUUAUGCUUUUAAGAGAAUUUAAGAAAAUCGGACUAUUCUAUCGAGAUACUAUAACUUAUUCAACAGAAUAUCUAAAGCAUUUGUUCUGAAAGCAAGAAUUCUAGAUGCUCUUCUCCCCAUUUGUUUUUGGUCGAAUGCCACAAAAGAUGUUGAGAAUUAGGCACAAGAACCGGGUUCAAUAAGUUGACAAAUACCAAACCGAGGACCGACGUGGAAUCGUGGAGAAAAAGUUACAUUACAAUAAAGAUAAAUAAAGAAAAGGGAAGAUGACGUAAAGCUCAGAUUUGGAGCCUAACGAACUCCACGUCACCGCCUAAGUUCAUCCAUUGAAAUUUGACGGCGUCUUCUACUCUUCUAUCAUAACCCUUCGUUCUUUCAUGUGAACCACGUCACCGCCAUUCUCUUUUUUUUUUCUUUCUUAAUACAUUUCUCAAUAUGCGUCCAAUAUCAUAAAUAUAAUAUAUAUAUAUAUAUACAAUUUAACCUAUUAAGGCAUUGCAACUUGUAGUGAACUUUCAAAGGAACUUGCAUCCACAAAUUUAAACAUUUUUGCAUGUUGUAGAAUUGAACACGAAUAAUAAAGUGUGUAUUGAUGAUACACUUGUGUUACUUAUUUGACAAUUUAUUUGGUUUUCUUAGAAAAACUGAAACUGGCUUAUACAGUAUGUUUGUACACAUUUUUUGUAUUCGAAGAAAUUGGGGCAUCAUACAGUGACAUUGCUAUUAAUGUUUCUUCUAUAUCAAACCAAGUGAUAACAAAAUAUAAAAAGUAAUAAUGUUGACUUGUAAAUAAAGUAAGAAAAUUAAAUUCUGUCAUUUCAGAAGAGGAAGUAUGUCACAUGUAUAAUAGAUCAUCGAUACUUUUCAUGAGAACUUCCACAAGAAAGCCAUUGACUUCUUAUACCUUUCUCAAUUUUCCAGCUUGACCCAUUUUUUUCUUUUGAAGUUAUGAGAACUUUAUGUAUAAAAACAUUUUAGACUAGACCUCAAGAAAAUUCAGAUAUUUUUAUAAUUUGUGAAAAAAAUGUUGAAAUAAAUUGAUUGGAUUAUUUCUAUUACUAACGUUAAUCCAGUAUUAUGGUGGUCUAUAUUAUUAUUAUAGCCACCUAUACGGAAUGUUGAUGUGCCAAACAAUGGAGACACACAUUGUGUACUUGGAUUAAUGAAUAAAAUGACAUGUAUCAGUCUAUGGGACACAUAGUAAACUAGAUUAUUUCAUACCUAAAAUGCUAUAAUAUUUGAUUGAUAAAUGAUAAGAACAAAGAAAAGUUCUUGCAAGUUUGAAAAAAAAAAAGAGAAUAUCUUGACUCGUGCGGAUCUCAAACUUUUCUUUUCUAUCCUCUUCUCAAAUUAUAUUCCAAGUAAAACACGCAAUUACCAUAAGAGUUAAACAAUAUAAAAAGAGUUCUCAACUAAAUCUUCCAAAAGAGGCUUUCUCUUAUGGUUCACAUGUAAGUAUAUACUUUAAUUUACAUAAAAUUUAAUUUAACGAAUCCUAAUGAGCCUAUUUUCUGAACACGUACAAAUCAAUUUAAUGCAUAUCUUCACAUUUACACAAGAAUAAAGAAACUACACAUAUUUUUACUCCAUUGCUUCUGAAUUUAUAUAAUUCUUUCCAUUUAAUAUGAUUGAGUUUUUAUCCCUCUAACAAGGAAAAAUAUUAUAUAUAGAUACAAGGAAAGCCCAUUUCAUUAUCUAUCUUCUCUUUGAUUCAGCGAGCGAAAUAAAAACAAAAGGCCAAAAAUGGGUGCAGACGCAAUCCAAACGAACGGUCACGAUCCCGCCAAGUUAACCGCCGCGAGAGGGAUCCAACGGUUGAGAUGCGCCGUGAAGAACUACGAGUGGGGCAAACUCGGACCGGACUCACUUGUUGCGAGGCUCCACGAGGCGAAUUCAGGGGACCGAGUCGACCCGGUGGUUCCUCACGCCGAGUUGUGGAUGGGUACUCACGAGUCGGCACCGAGUUACGUUGUGAAGGAAGAAGAAUUCGGGUCGGGUCGUAAUGGAUCCGAAUGCAUGGUUACAUUGAAAUCAUGGGUUUUGGAUUAUCCGAAUUUACUCGGGUCUAGAGUCGUGGACAAAUGGGGUUGUGAUCUUCCUUUCCUCUUCAAGGUAUUAUAUUUUAAAAGUUUCCAAUUAAAACAUGUAUAUUCAAAACCUUCUUUCAAAAAAAAAAAAAAACAUGUAUAUUCAGAUUCUGUUUAUGGUAAAUCUUUUUGUUUUUCCAGUUUUGUCUCAUACAUAAUUGUUCAGGAACAAAAGUAUUAUUUAUUUGAUCCUAAGAUUCUCAUUUUGAAUAUUUUUGCUCUGUUUUGAGGAUUUUACUUUUUGACUCUGUUUUCUUAUAAAAUUUCUAAUUAAAAGUCAAAACAUAUAUAUAUAUAUAUAUAUAUAUGUAUUUUUUUGUAAUUUCAGAUUCUGUGAAUUGUCAAUUUCUCCACUUUUUAUAUUUACAUAUAUUAUAUAUACAGCCAAUUUGUCUUGUUAGAUACAUAUAUAUUUUGGCUCUGUUUUGAGGAUGAUACAUUUUAACUCUGUUUUCUCAAUUUAUAAAAAUGCAUUUCUUUUUCUCUGUGUGUUUUAAAUUUAAAACAUAAAGGUUUGAUUCUAAUGAAUAAGAGUUUGAUGUUGAAAUGUGCAAAAAAUAAAAACAGGUUUUGUCAGUGACGAAAGCAUUGUCGAUUCAAGCACAUCCAAACAAAGCCUUAGCAGAGAAAUUGCAUAGAGAAGAUCCUCUUCUUUACAGAGAUGCUAACCAUAAGCCUGAGAUUGCUCUCGCCAUUACUCCUUUUCAAGCUCUUUGUGGUUUCGUAUCUCUUAAUGUACUAGAUUCUUCACUUCUCUGCAAACAUCUAAUUUAGUCGGUUUUUGAUUUAGAUAACUUCGGUUAUUUUGCCUAUCACAUAUGCUAAAUCCAAAAUUGAACCGGUUCUGUACCACUUUUGAUAUCAAAUUCAGGAGCUGAAGGAAGCCAUCGCCAAUGUACCAGAAAUCACAGAGCUUGUCGGAAGUAAAGCAGCAGAUCAAAUCUUCAAAGUCAACGAACACGAUGGAGACGAAACAAGUGUUAAAUCCGUUGUCCGUUUGAUUUUCACGCAAUUGAUGUCUGCAAACAUCAAUGAUACAAAGCAAGUCAUAUCACAGAUGAAGAUUCGUCUGAUCUCAGAAACAAACCACCGUGAGUUAUCGGAGAAGGAGAAGUUAGUAUUGGAACUAGAGAAACAGUAUCCAGGUGACGUGGGCGUGAUCUCAGCAUUCUUCUUUAACCACGUCAAGCUUAAUCCCGGAGAGGCUUUGUAUCUUGACGCCAACGAGCCACACGCUUACAUUUCCGGCGACUGUGUUGAGUGUAUGGCGGCUUCAGACAACGUUGUUAGAGCUGGUCUCACUCCGAAACACCGCGAUGUUCAAACUCUGUGUUCUAUGCUGACCUACAAAUUGGUAACUUUCUUUACACGUUAACGUUUUUUUUGGUUUAGUUGGCUAGCAAAAUUUGGAUUGUACCCUAACCCUAACCAAAACCGAAAAUUUAUUUUUCUUUGUUUGGUUAUUGAUUAAUUGUACCGGAUUUGUUUCAGGGCUACCCGGAGAUUUUGAAAGGAUUUCCUCUGACUCCAUACAUUACGAGAUACCUUCCACCAUUUGAUGAGUUUGAAGUGGACCAUUGUGAUCUUCCUAGAGAGAAAUCCACUGUUUUUCCGGCCAUACCAGGGCCAUCGGUUUAUCUGGUUAUUGAAGGAAAAGGGACAUUGAAAACCGGUUCAUCUCAAUUGUUGGUUAAACGAGGAGAUGUUUUGUUUGUUCCGGCACAUAACGAGAUUCACGUAACCGGAGAAAGUGAUGUGAUGAAGCUUUACAGAGCUGGAGUCAGCAGCAGAUUCUUUCAAACAAUGUAGACUAAGUAAAGAUACAUAUAUAUAUAUUUAAUUUGUUAUCUAAAUGUAACCAUAGGGAUCAAGGCAUUGACGUGAUCAUAGUCAAUAUUGGUCCAUGUUCUUUAAUCCUACAAAUGUCCCAUUACGAAUCAAGGGUUCAAGGGGUUGUUUUUCUAUUAACUUUUGUUGUUUCUUCUACACCUUUAAAAUUGAAUUAUAUAUGUAAAAUGAUUAUAAAACAAUGUUUUUUUUUUUACUUUUUGCUAUUGUAGUGUAGUAACUAGUAAUUAUUCUUCCUUUACCUGUUUAAACUUUAAUUUCUAGAACUACUCUGCAAAAGCACAUUUGUUCAGUUGUAAUAUGUAGAGAUCGAACCACAGAGACGAGAAAUUCGCUCAAUAAACCUAAUAGACUCUAAUUGCGCUAAGAAGAAAUAAUGAAAUUGAGAGCAGCAAUGCAAUAAAAAACGGUUUUAAAUUCGAUGGGAAAGAAUUAGGCUCAGGGUGUUUCACAGAAAAUCAGAGAAUGCAGACAAAUCGAUUAGUCAUGAUUCAGAUUUAAGCGCAAUUCUUGAACUCAAAUCACGAAAUUAUAAUUAACUAACUUUUGUUGCGAAAAUUAUUUAAAUCUAAAUCCCAGAAUCCCAAUUUUCUUUGCAAUCCUAAAGAUAUAAAUUAGCCUUAAGUGCAGGUUCGAUAUGUUCACAAAGUGUCUAAACCAAUUUUUUUUGUGGAUAGCUACUUUGCUCAUCCUAGGUUCUUUCGGAUUAUUCAAUUACAGUUUCGUGUCAAUCAAUUAACCUAAGAUCUAAGUUCUAGGUGAUCAGUCCAAAAUUAGCUUUAAGAAUAAUCUAUGGUGAAUUACUAAUCAGAUUAUGACCCCUAACUAAUUAAUUAUCUAAAAUUCAAAGGGAUCCCUUAUGAGAACCCUAAACCUAACAAACAAACUACUCAAAUAUGGAGAUUGAAUCAAUAAACAUGAAUGAAUAGAUUGCAGAAAGCAGUAAAAAGAUUAAUAAACAGAGGUUCAAAAUCUUCUCUCAAACAAACAGAGUCUCAGACUUGUCUCCCUAAAAGCUCUCUCAAGAUCAAUAGAAAUCAAAAGUCUCAAAGAAAAUCUAGAGUGUAGCCAAAACACGUGGCUGAAAACCCUAUCAAAAGCUAAAACACAUGUUGGACUUCCCUGUAAAUAUUGGAGACUUCUGGGCUCAAGAGAUUCUUUAAAACUUAGACAAAAUCACGUUUUUCCUUAUUCACGACAUUGGUGUCGAGCAACACCAAAACAUAUAAAUCAUCUUUCACGAAUUUGAUCCCUGCUUAGUUCCAAAAUGCUCUAAAAUCUCCAAUUAAACUCCAAAUACAUUUAAGACCUGAAAAGACUCCAAAAAAUUAAAAAAACACUAAAGAGACUCUAUAAAUAAAACCUAUCAUGAUCAAAAACCAUAAAAAAAAACCAUGAUAUAUCAUUCUCCAUGAUAAGCAUUUUUCGAAUGGUCUGAGUCGAACAAAACAAUGUUCUCUAAAGUAUAAGGCCAAUUCUUUUUGCCUCCCUCGUCACUUACCUUUUGUUUGUGGCUUCCAUGGCAUAGACUAGAGAGAUGACCCCGAGAAGACCUAAUCUAGCACGCAUUUGUUUGGAUGUUGCUAAUGUUCCGUUUUAAAGUACAUAUGCAAAGAUCGUGGAAAGUAAAACGAACUCAAUCUUAAGUCUUGAGACAAUGAUUUUUGCCAAUUUUCCGGUAAGCUUUCCCGGUGAAAUCUUUCACUGGAAUGACCUGAUUAUGGAUGCGCUGGAAACUUGAGUACUAUAACGUGAUAUACUUAUAUGUCAAAAUCGAAUUUAAACUGAAUGAGAAAUGAGGAUUCUUAGAGAGUAUAGCUUGAAAGCUUAAAAAUAACAUAAGUUACCAAAUGACAAGUGUGAUUUGUCCCACAUUAGCAAUUCAACGUUACAUUUUGAACGUAGUGUUACGUUCUCCCCUUGAUAAUACUCAAUAGAUCUGCUUCUAGCCUGUCCCAACAAUCUGAUUCGGAUUGAGAAUUGCGGUUUUUGCGAACGUUGUUAAAGAUUUCCAAAAAAAAAAAUAUUUCAUUACGGCUUUUCACAUCAAAUCGGAAAAACUCUGCUUAGUUUUAACUUUUUAGGGAAUUUGAUAAAUAUUUGACAAACUUUGUGAAAAUAACUUUUGGAGUAGCAAAAUUCCGCAAAAAAAAAAAAAAAACUCAGAGUAAACUUACUGACAAAAGAAAAAAGUUUCCUCAAGUUGGUUUAGUCGCAUUCCUUUUGUCAAGCACUUAAUCCACUACAAAGACGUUUUGUUGUAAUUUAACCGAACUGAACAAUCAUUCCAAAUCUUAAUAAGCAGCUAAAGAGAGACAUUGAGAGACCAAGAUAAACCGGUUUACUUGCACCUACUUGCUGUUUGUUAAAGCUUUGGUUACAAAAUGUGAAACGAUUCCAACCGGACAGAAGAGAAGGCACAAUGAAACCGAAUGCCUCGUCUCAAUCUUAUUCUCUAGCCCAUCAUUAAAAACUUGCCUGCAGAGAAACACUCAAAACAUGAGUUAUAAGAAACAUGCUAGGAUCAAUCAGAACCUGAAAAGUGCAAUAUAGUACCUUGCAGCGAAAAGAUCUAUAACAAGAAGAUGAAUCCAAGCAGAAGCAAGAGUCAUUUCACUUGAGAACAUUUUCGCUAUUCCAGACAACUGCAAAUGAAAAAAAAAAAAAGAAAUUUUAGAAACUGGAAUGUACACAUUUUCUUGUUUUCGAUAUUUCCUGAUAAUUGGAGGAAAAAGCUAAAACCUCUGGCAACAUGUAUUUACUGGAAAACAUGUAUUUGAGAGUAUCAGGCGUCCAAGAAAGGUAUAACAAAUACGCGUAUAAUACGCCUAAGACGAUAUACGGUAUGCUACUCUCCAUACACUUUUUGGUCUGCACAAGGAGAAAACAUACACUCAAUUCAAUAUGAACUUUUUUGAUUCUGCACAAGAAGUUGUAAAACUGCUAAACAAAAACUCACAAUUUCAGCUUUUGGAGCUACAACCAUUAGAGUGUAAAAGGGUAAAACAGCGGUUGUUCCAACCGCAAAUACACUGCUUGCAAUCUGAGAAGUAGCUAUCCCUGCACAAGAACAUGUUAUGUCUCUGUCCUACUUUCAAUUUAAACAUUGAAGAGCUAUAGAUUCUAGACAUAUAUCAAGCCUCUUUUUGGUUUAUAAUGUUUCAGUUAAGAGACAUUACAUGAAGCUCGUACACCAGAGGAUUUCUUUUGAACAAGAGAGGACGAGUUCGAUGAAACAUUAGGGAAAAGUGCGAUUUUUGAUCCUCCGAUAAAGCUCCAACGAUUCUGAAGUCGAAUACUUGACGAACCAACGCAUAGUUUAGACUUGACAUUGCUGAGAGAAAGACUUGUUAUCGAGCUCUUAGCUGAAAUGUUGCGAUUCAUCAUCUGAAUCACCAAACAAAAUGAAUCAAUCUGAUGAAAUAUAAAAAACUUCUUUAUUUCUUAAAAUUUAGGAAUCUGAGACCAAAAGCACUUUGAUCUGAACAACAACGAAUCAGGAACAGAGUUAGGUUCUGUAACAGGGACCCAUGAGGAGUAAAUUCAACUUCUUUAAUGUCUGCGUCAAUUCGAUCUGAUUCAAAGGAUAAAACUUUAAGGUUACCCAUAAGGAAUCUGAACUAUUCGAAAUUGUAGAAAGCUCGACAUAAGAAUCUAAUCCGACAAUCUCCAACAACUGUACAUACAUACAUACAUACAUACAUACAUGAUACAUACAUACAUACAUACACACACAUAGAUAUAGACAUAUAUCUGCGUAUACCGAAAAUUGGAGAAGAAUUGAAAAAGGAAGAGAAAAGGUAGAUACCGAGAGAGAUGAAGAAGACAAAGGCUGGGAAAUGCAAGAAGAUAAAGCCAUCUGCGAUUCAAAUCUUCAAUAGUCUUUGCCAGAAUUUGGCCAUUCAUUACCUUCUUCAACGAGCUCUCUCCAUAUAUAUAUGUAAAGUAUCAAUUUUUAGAGAGGAGAGUUGAGAGUUUUCCACUGGUUGAAAAGGGUAAGUGGAGAAGAAGCUAAGAGAAAAAGUGCUCACUCACUCUUUCUUCAUCAGUGUGGACAAUUAUAGUUGCUCAUCCACCCGAAUUUUUUAAAAAAGUUUUGGUCUUUUUUAGUUUUCCUCGUUUACUUCUGUUUCGCAUAAACAAAAAAAAAAGAAAAAACCAUUAUGAGUUUGAGUUAAUUUUAAAGAGAAAAUCAAAUUUAAAGAUUCUUUAUAUUGUAUGUUCAAAAUUGCAAUAUAUUAUGGAAAAAAAGAGAAGAUUUUUUCCUAAUUUUAGAUAAAAACCUUUAAUAAAAAUCAAAAAAUUAUUAAGAUAUUAAUUUAACCUUAUAUUUUAGAUAUUGUUCUUUUUCUGGUCAAUAUAAAAAAUUACAGUUUACCAUUCUUAUAUAAAAAAAAAUUAAUUAGACUCAAAUGGAAUGUUUUUAUUUUUUUAACAAGAAUAUAACUUUCAUAGAACCUAAUACCCAAAAAAAAAACAUUUGACCCGACUAAAUUAAAAUUCAAGGAAAGAUUGGAGCUUUGAUCCUUUACUCGAUAAAAAAAAGGUUCUUCAUUGUAUGAUCAAAUGACUUGUCGGAUUGUAUUUGUAGGUGGCUCAUCGUAGGAUUAAUAGCUUCUCGGAUUUUGUUAUCCUUGUCUUGUGUUUUGCUUUUUCCGUGAAGAUCAAAAUUUUCUUCUAUACAUUCCUGCUAUAUAUUCCAUCAUGUUCUACCGGUUACACUUAUAAGCCUAUAAGGAUAUCUAAUCUACUUUUUUAUUUGAUAAAAACCUAAUAUCUUUGUUAAUGGAUAUUUGUGCUUAAACUGAAUUUAGACACAACACAGGUCUAGUUCAGGACAGAACAAGACAAAAGUGACAGUGCUACUUCUACUCAGCAGUGGUUGUGACUUCCUCUAAAGACAAAAGUUGGUGUUUCCACCAUUAUUUCGGUUUUGCUUUUAUUAUAUAUUUUAUUUUAAUUUAUUUUUCGCUACAUGAGAAUUGCAUUAACGAAGGACAUUAUAUAUGAAAACAAAAAAAAACAAUAAAAAGAUAUACAUACAUGUGUCUGACACUCAUUGUUUGUGAAAUCAGUUGGGAGUAAGAUAGCGCUUGAGUGGGCUAUUUGGUAUGAUAGCUUCUCUCUAUUGAUGGGCCUUAUUGACCCACCCCACUUCAGUUUUGUUUAGUCAUUCACAACAAGAAAAACAUGAAAACAAAAGCAACACUUGUCUUUUCUAUCUCUCAAUCUGUAAGUGGUAUAUGCGCAUUUCGUUGAAUUCGAUUGAGACCAAAACUCUUUUAAAACAUAAUGUAUAGUUCUUAGGAUUAUAUGGGGAAAAUAUAUGAUGUCUCAAAGAUUUUUCAUAACAUAUUAUAUUCCUUAUAAUAAAAGGUCACCUGGGGUUUUUCUAUAAACCGGGGUUUUUUUAUAAACCGCCGGCUUUUCUAUAAACCGCCGGCUUUGUCUCUGGAGAUGUUGUAUCAUCUGCCGGCUUUGUGUAAUCCGUUGGCUUUGCUCUGUAACACUAUGGUGAUCAAUAUAAUAAUAUUCAAUGAAAAAAAAAAAAGGUCACCUAAAUAAUUAAAAAUUUGAAUUUUUACGACUCAUAUUUCUAUCCUAUUCCAAAGCUAGGAAAACAACAUAAAGAGUUACAAAUUCUUACUAUAUAGUACUUCCAACAAUAUCUUUAUGUAAAUUUGUGCCAAGUCAUUUUGAGUGGAAAAUGUAGAAUAUAUGAUCCACAAGAUCCUUGAAUAUACUUGGGUAUAUAGAAAUAAAAAUGAAUAUCCGAGACUCUUAUCUACAAGCCUAUCCUUAAGAAGGCACGUCCACGAAUGUUUCUAUCACAGAUUUUCAGUGGGCCAUCAUCUAUUACUUCAAGAUAUUGUUCUAAAAAUGCAUCUCAACCUCAAGCUUACUAAUCAUGUGACAAAAGUGAUAAUGUGAAUCUAGUUUUUCAAAUAAUUUCUUUAUUCAAUGACGACUAAUCAAAGAGUUGGUAUAUUUUUGUAUUCACAGUUCUUCAACUUUGUAUAUUUUCAUAUCUUGAGCCGCAUUGUAAUUUGUUUUUUCUUAUAUGCAAAAUUCAAAAUCAAAGAUUUAUAGAACAUUACAUAUUUAUUUCAUCAGACAUUUGAGAAUCCGAUAGAAAAUGUCUCGCAAACCGGAAAACAAACGUUAAAUCCGGAAAUUAAAACAAAACUAAGGAAACCAAAAAAAAAAAAGCAGAUGAUAAAAUCAAAGGUGAGGAGGGAGAUAAAGUUUUUUUUUUUUGAUGUUUACACAAAGCAAAGAAGCAGUGAAAUUAAGCAUCGGUGAAGCUUGCUGGCUUGUAGGCGAUGAAACUGAUGCACUGGACUUGACGGGUGUUGUCGAAUCCGAUGAUCCUAAUGAAGGCCUGGGGGUACUCCUUCUUGCACUCUUGCACUUCCUUCAACACUUGAGCUGAGUCAGUGCAUCCGAACAAAGGAAGCUUCCACAUUGUCCAGUACCGUCCAUCGUAGUAUCCGGGAGUGCUUCCGUGCUCACGGUGCACAAAUGCGUUCUACAAAAACACAUUACACAAAACCAUUCAAAAACAUAAAUCAAGAUUCUGCUUAGGACCUCUAAAUAGUUAUUAACUUGAUUGCAAGAUUCAUAUGGUCCAAGAGAUCAAGCUACUCUAUAAAUGAUUUUUAUUACCUCCAACUCGAAUUCAACACAGGGAAUCCACUUGUUGCGGAGAAGGUAGUCAACUUCCUUAGCCAAUUCAACUUCGGUUAGGUCAGGAAGGUAAGAGAGAGUCUCAAACUUCUUCUUACCAAUAGGAGGCCACACCUAUUUUUUGCCAUUUUUCCAAAAUCAACAAAAACAAUAUUAGUUUAUAUGAUUCGAUAAAUCAAAAACCCAUAAAUUUGUUUUUGGUAUAAGAGAUUUGACCUGCAUGCAGUUAACUCUUCCGCCGUUGCUUGCGAUGGAAGUAAUGUCGUUGUUGGCCUUACGGGUCACAGGGAAAGCAGCGGAGGACUUAAGUCCGGUGAAAGGUGCGACCAUUGUGGCCUGAGCCGGAGAAGCGACCAUUGUAGCGGAAGAGAGCAUAGAGGAAGCCAUAUUGCCUUUACUCUUUUUGUGUGUGACUUAGGUUUGGUCUAGUGCUUUGGUCAUCUAUAUAUAAUGGUAACAACAAUGAUAACAAGGUGAGGGAGUGAUCGGAGGGCUCA